RNAcentral lists this long non-coding RNA (58899 nucleotides) under Sorghum bicolor (sorghum). RNAcentral describes it as "long non-coding RNA (SBIC_LNC008358)". Lineage: Eukaryota; Viridiplantae; Streptophyta; Magnoliopsida; Poales; Poaceae. The record is from RNAcentral.
CUUCAGAUGGCAGAUCAGACAUUCUGAAAGGUUAUUGUCAUGGGAGAAGACGAAUUCCAUCCACUCAUCAUCAAUGGGAGACCGUUCCUCAGCACCGUUAAAGCAAUCAUCUACAUUGGAACCGGAGAAGUCCACAUGAACUUCCCCACUGAGAAGGUACGCUGCUAUUUUACUGACCCUAACUAUAUAGUUGAAGACUCUAAGCAGGUCAGGAAAAGAAGGAGACGAUGCAAUCGCAACCAGAGGAGGCAAAUCAUCAAGGAUGGAUGGGCAGACUACGAAGGAGAAGUGGCGCCACCGGAACCACCGACUACGCCAUCCAGCGAAUCCCAGGACGAAUGAGAAAACAGAGAGUCCCGUUCGGAGGACAUAAAAACACCAAACGCCUUGCCAAGAGGUAAACUGGUAGUUAUCUUUUUCCUUUAAAUUAUUUUAAAAUAGUUUGCUUAGUUAAUCUGGUUCAUAUCAUCUUGAAAAGAAAAUAAAAAUGUUAAAAAUAGUAAUCCCCAUGUGAGUAUGCUCAUGACAUAAAAUCCAUAAGUACAUUCACUGUGGUGGCAUAAAAUAAAAUAAAUAUAUUUAUAUGCUAUAAAAAUGAAAAUAUAAAAAUAAAUUUAUGAUCCUACCAAAGAGUGUAACAUUUAUUGAGGAGGCUCAACAUGAUAAAGGCUAGAUAUUUAUGCUAACACUUAACAAGUUCCACAAAGCUUUGUUGUCUAUUUGAGCUCCACAGAAUUCAAGGAUCAAAGAAGACUAGCAGACGGAGGACAUCCUAACCGCUGUCAGGAUGCUGCCGACAUUCAAAAACACCUCCGCCACCUGCUAGCUACAUCAGAAGAAAUUGCGUCAAAAUCCAGCUUGGGGGAGAGCACCCCCAUUUAUCCAGCUAAGUGUUCUACUCACGUUUAUAUUUUACUCAAAUAAUAAAAAGAUGCAUAAUCAUAAAAACCCAAAUAAAGAUUUUGUUCUUAUAUUUUUGCUUAGUUUGAUAAAUAAAUAAAUAAAUAAAAUUUCCUAUGAACCCUCAUGAUAAGCUCUCAGAUGGAAAUGAUGAAUAGUUGCUCUACCAUGACUAGAUCUCAAAAUUAAAAUCUCUCUCAAGUUUAGGCAUGACUGGUAUUAAUUAAGAUUUGCUCUAAACCUGAACUUGUGGGAAGAGUACUUGAUCUAGAGUCUAAGUCGUUAACGGAUAUGAUAUGGGAAGGUUGAGCUGCUGUUUAUCUGUUCCUAGAGAUGCUAGAAUUCUGGAGAAUUUUAUCUUUGAAAAAAAAAUCUUUAAAAUGUUGCAUGAUGAGUUCCUGUAUGAUGAGAGUUUAAAUUCCUACCACAGCCAUAUAUACAUGCUUGCUAGACUUUGAGCCACACAUUUACUUUUUACUGCUUAUGAGCAUUGAGUGUGGUCAAGCUGUGUAGACCCUUAGGAGCUUGUCAUGCGGUUAAAUCAAGAUUCACUUGCACGUUCACUCAUACAUGCCACUUCUACUUCGGAAGUACGCAUCCACAUAUGUCCACCCAUUUUCAUCUCCAAAAUCACCUAAAAAUAUUCUACUCCUAAUCCGGGAGAGAAUAGCCAAAAACAUUUCUGUUUUUCCCUUUGAAAUAAAUGCUCAAGGUAUCUUGGUUACUACCACUUGCUAUAUUAUUUCAGGAGAUGAGUGCUCUAAAAAGAGAGAGAAAAAAUAAAUACGAUGAAAUAAAAAGGGGCAAGUGCCCGGAACCUCGAAAGAAAAAAAAAGUUAGACGAGAGGUACAAGAUACCCACCUGGGAGAAAAGAAAAAGAAAAUACAGAGCAUCUCACUCUCCUCAAUAAAGUUUCAAAAGAGCAAGAAAGGUAUGUAUCCCCUCAAAAGAGCAAAUGUAGAAAUAGACUUUCACCAUUGUUAUCACCAUCAUCACCAUACACCAUUCAUUUGCCACACAUGCAUAUCUUGAUUUGACUUAUUGACCUGAUCUUCUGGAUCCAUGGUUUGACUAUGCAAUAAAUGUCUUGUAAGUAUGUAUUAGCUGUCUUCCACCUAUGAGCUCCAGAUAUCAAAAUCCUUAUUAGAGUAGGGUGAGAGAGAAGGCAAUGUUACUAUGCCUCAUACCAAAAAUACCACAUAAUUUGAGAGAAGGCAUACACCAUUACUUCCUUGGUAAGGAUCCAGAAAUACCACAAAAGAGAGACUAGAGAGAGACAUACAAGGAAUUGCUGAGUUUUAUUUGAAAAUCUGCAAAAACUCCAGAGCUAUAGUUAAUCAAAGAACAAGAGACAUGGCGCUUGACUUGACCGUUCUAUCUUUUAACUGCUCAAGACACAAGUGACGGUUACAAGUCCCAUGGUGAAAGGUAAAUGAGUAAGUUUUAAGUCUUAACAGUUUACUCUAACCAGAGAUGAGAUCUUGUUUAAACGGAUGUGUAUCUUUAAGGAAUGAAACCACUGCAGAAACUCUUGAGUCCAUCUUUGCUUGGGGACGAGCAAAGGUUAAGCUUGGGGGAGCUUGUUGACGGUCCUUAAUGCUCACAUUUAACCAUCAAUUAAUCAUGGAAAAGGAUCCAAAUGCAACCAACACCUAGACUUAGGGUUUUAUCUGACAGAAUUCCACGAGUUUUGGUGUUUGUCUAUUUCUGCAGGGGGUUAUCAGGAAAUACGAAAGAAAGGCCCACACGUCGGGUUUACAUAGAGAUAUUAACGUGUCGCCCAAUUUUCUAUCAUCUAGAAGACUCCAGAAGCCACGGGAACGAACGGGAAGGAAAUCGGGCUCGGAGGCAGGGCGCCCGCCCAACUCUCCUGGGCACCCGCCUAGCUACAGUGCCCAAUCAGGACACGUUUCGCGGAUUAUUCUCCACCGACCUAAUGGAUCAAGAAAAACCGUGCGAUCAAUGUCGGUUUGAUCCGACGGCCCAGAUUCACUUGAAGGGACUAUAAAACCAGACCCCCUGGCCCCUGGAGAUCAUACCUCUUCUACAGAAUCAAAGCUAGGGUUUCAAUUCUUCAUCCAAGUAGAGAGGAUCCCUCUAGUUCUUCUAGUUCUACCUCUAGUUCUUCUAGAUCUAGUUGUAGUUCAUCUAGUUCUAGUUCUAGUUCCUCUAGUUCUAGUUCUAGUUAGUUCUAGUUGUAAUCUAGAAAAUAGGGAGAGAGAAGAGGAGAGCGGAGGAGGAGCCGGAUCUGUCGGAUCUUCCUCAACAUUAUACUUUUGCAGCAUCUGGUUCGUUCUUCAUCGUUUUCCAGGUUCUUCAAUUUAUAAUUCCUGAGUUCUCUAAUUACUUUUAUUUACAUUCAAGUUAUUUAUAGGAUUCCCGCUUGCAUCAAGUGCUCUAAUCUUUGAAACAUUAGAGUAGUAAUUAAUAGAUUAGACGUGGUGUUUAGUCUUGCAAUUACCUAGAAUUGCACCCAAUCCUGCAGAUUGUUGUGGUAGCCUUAGGGUAGUGACAGCCCUAACGGUCGACGUAUUCCACCUCGUUCGGAUCGGUGUUUGUAGGACCGUAGUCGGAGCUUCCUAGCCCCCUUCUCAUCUCUUUCUGUGGUUAGUGUUCUGAUGUCCCAAAAUAGAUAAUCUUGAAGUAAUUCUUGAUUCUUAGAUCAACUAGAGAACUCUCAGGAAACUUCCUCUCUUCCCACCAAAAAUAAUUAUAUAGUUAUCCUUGGGCGAUCUUGAAUCUUAAUUAGUACACUCACGUUCUCUGUGGAAAAUCGAUACUCUGGAAUACUCCCGCGUGAAAGCUACAUCGGUAUCCGUGCGUUUGCGGAUUUUUCCGUUUGCGUUUAAAAUACCCAACAGUAUGAUAGACCUACUCGGCAGUAUCAGAACGAUAAUUGGCGAUUUAAUGGGCCGAUUAGGGGGAGAGCCUCAGUCCAUGAUCGGCUGGGGGGCAGACUCAGUGUACAUGAUAGGCUGGGUGAGCGUGCAGUUAUUUUCCCAGAAACCAAGAGGAGCUUGAGGAGAUGGCAGACGCACAAGUUCCCGAUGAGUUCAUAUUUUGUAGAGAUGCUAAUACUUAUCGAAUGGAGUCAAGAGAAAAUCGUCAUCAAUUGGUAAGGCAGCCACAACUUCCUCCAUGGUGUCCAGAGGGGCUAACUAGGACACAUAAAAAGAGGUUGCAGCGGGAGCGACGAGAAGAGUUGAGUAAAGGUGAAAAUUCUUCUAAGUCUGGAGAUCAGCAACAGCUGGAUCCUAAAGGAAAAGGGCCAUCGGCAGAUGUUAAUAUGGUGUUUAUGUUGUUGAUGGAGUUCCAUGCGCCUGUUAGUGAUGAUGAGGAGGUGGAUUUUUCUGACCAGAUAGCUCAGUUGGCUCUGGAUCCGAUGACGGCUAUCUUUGAAAAGUCUAUCGACAAUGAAAGACACCAUCUUAAAGCUCUGUUUGUCAAAGGUAGGGUUGAUGGACAGCCGAUGACCAAACUACUUAUUGAUGGUGGGGCUGCUAUCAAUAUUAUGUCGUAUGCAGUCUAUCGGAAACUUGGGAAAGGAGAUCAAGACUUAACCAAGACCGAUAUGAUGUUAAAAGAUUUUGAAGGGAAUGUGUCUCCAGUUAAGGGUGCCAUAUGUGUUGAGUUGACCAUCGGCAGCAAAACUUUGCCAACGACUUUCUUUAUCAUCAGUGGAAAGGUUGCUUAUAAUCUACUGUUGGGGAGAGAUUGGAUCCAUGCCAAUUGUUUCAUCCCAUCUAUAAUGCACUAACGUUUGGUUCAGUGGGUAGGUGACAAGAUUGAGAUUGUCCCAAGAGAUUCUUCGUAUGUCAUAGCAUCGGCAGAGGCAGAUACUUAUUAAAGGACCAGAUGCAUUUCAGGGGAGAUUUGGGAAAAGGAUUUUCUCAAAGAUGCCGAUUAUGAAAUUCCACCGAUCCAAGCAGUCGGUUCUGACGAAGAGUUUUAAUGGAUAGGUUCGCCGAUGAUGGAAAAUUAGGCCAGGGGUUUACAUCGGCUGAUGAUUUGGUAGAAAUAGACAUAGGUAAUGGUGAUAGGCCAAGGCCUACUUUUAUUAGUGCUAAGUUAGAUUCUAAGUGUUAGCAACAAUUAACCGAUUUGUUAAAGGAAUAUAAAGAUUAUUUUGCUUGGGAUUAUACUGAGAUGCCUGGUUUAGACCGAUCGAUCGUUCAACAUCGGUUGCCUAUCAAAUAUGGAUUUUGGCCUCAUCAGCAGCCAGCUCGCCGAUGCAAUCCUAAUAUUCUUCCUGAUAUUAAGGCCGAAAUAACUAAACUUAUCAAAGCUAAAUUUAUUCGGCAGUGUCGGUAUGCCGAGUGGAUUUCCAAUGUUGUUGCAGUUUACAAGAAGAAUGGGAAGCUUUGUGUCUGCAUUGAUUUCAGGAAUCUUAACAAGGCUACACCGAUGGAUGGCUAUCCAAUGGCAAUAGCCGAUUUGCUAGUUGAUGCUGGAGCUGGACAUCGGAUUAUUAGCUUUAUGGAUGGCAAUGCAGGAUAUAAUCAAAUAUUCAUGGCCGAAGAAGAUAUUCCAAAGACUGCAUUUUGAUGUCCUAGUCAUGUUGGGUUGUUUGAAUGGAUAGUCAUGACCUUUGACUUGAAAAAUGCUGGUGCUACUUAUCAGAGGGCUAUGAAUUUUAUCUUUCAUGAGUUCAUCGGUAAAUUGGUAGAAAUUUACAUUGAUGAUGUGGUGGUUAAGUCUGGAGAUUUCACAAAGCAUCUUGCCAAUCUGCGAAAGGUGUUGGAGUGCACAAGGAAACAUGGUUGGGAGAUGAAUCCUAACAAUUGUGCAUUUGGUGUAUCGGCAGGGCAAUUCUUUGGUUUCAUGGUGCAUCAGAGGGGAAUUGAAAUUAGUAGGAGAUCUAUUGAUGCCGUCAACAAAAUAGUUGCUCCCACCAACAAGACUGAACUCCAAUCUCUGAUCGGCAAGGUAAAUUUUAUCACGCGAUUUAUAUCUAACUUAUCUGGUAAAAUUCGUGCUUUUAGUCCUUUACUUAAGCUAAAAGCCGAUCUAGAGUUUGUAUGGGGAAGAGAGCAACAAUUAGCGUUGGACGAAAUCAAGAAUUAUUUGAAAAAUCCUCCAGUUCUAAUUCUACCUCAGCAAGGAAAGCCGUUCAAAUUAUAUUUGUCUACCGAUGGGAUGGUCAUCGGCUCGGCUUUGAUUCAAGAAUUUGAAGGGAAGGAGCGUGUGAUUUAUUAUUUAAGUAUAAGACUGAUACAUGCUGAGACCAGGUAUUCGGCAAUUGGAAAGUUAUGUUUAUGCUUGUACUUUUCAUGUGUUAAGUUGAGACAUUAUUUCCUAUCGGCCGAAUGCACUAUUAUAUGUAAAGAUGAUGUAGUGUGAUACAUGCUAUCUAUGCCGAUCAUGAGUGGUAGAAUCGGUAAAUGGAUUUUGGCACUGUCGGAAUUUGAUCUACGUUACGAAUCGGCUAAGGCAGUUAAAGGGCAGAUUAUGGCCGAUUUUGUGACUCAGCAUUGUGGUGUAGUGGGGACUUUGGAAAUUGUUCCUUGGACGCUCUUCUUUGAUGGAUCUACGUGUGACCGGGUGGUAGGAAUCAGUAUAAUAUUAAUUUCUCCUCAGGGAAAGAAGUAUGAGUUCUCUUUGCCGAUUGUUGCUACGUCAACAAAUAAUCAAGCUGAAUAUCAAGCUUUGAUCAAAGGGUUGGAAUUGUUAAAAGAAGUUCAUGCUGAUGCUGUUGAAAUCUUCGGUGAUUCUAUGCUUGUUAUAAAUCAAUUGGCUGGAAUUUAUGAAUGCCGGAGCGAGGUCUUGAUAAACUAUUAUGAAAAAGGUAUGCAACUAUUGAAGGAAUUCAAGGAUUUCCGAUUAGAGCAUGUUCCUCGAUUACAUAAUGAGGAGGCUAAUCGGUUGGCUCAGCAUGCCUUGGGAUAUCAACCCAUAUUAAACACGUUAUCUGCAAUUAGUGCCAAUGAUUGGAGAAAGGAGAUCAUUGAUUAUUUGAAAGAUCCAUCUAAAAAGGUUGAGAGGUGCAUCAGGUUUCAAGCUACUAAAUAUGUACUCCUUGGAGAAGAGUUAUAUUAUCGAACAAUAGAUGGAGUUCUACUUAGGUGCUUGAAUAAUGAUGAAGCUAAAAGUUUGAUGGGUGAGAUCCAUGAGGGAGUAUGUGGAGCACAUCAGUCGGCUUUUAAGAUGAAAUGGAUGAUUAGAAGAAACGGAUACUAUUGGCCAACUAUACUCGAGGAUUGCUUUAAAUAUUUCAAAGGAUGUCAAGGAUGUCAGAAAUUUGGCAUUAUUCAAAGGGCACCUGCAUCGGCCAUGAAUCCCAUUAUUAAGCCUAGGCCGUUCUGGGGAUGGGCUAUUGAUCUAAUCAGCCAGAUUUACCCACCAUCAAGCAAAGGGCAUAAGUUCAUCUUAGUUGCCACCGAUUAUUUUACCAAGUGGGUUGAAGCUAUUCCUUUGAAGAAAGUAACAUCGGCUAACAUGAUUAAUUUUGUGAAAGAGCAUAUUGUUUACCGAUUUGGUAUUCCUCAAACAAUCACUACCGAUCAGGGUACUAUGUUCACAUCAGGAGAGUUUGAUGAAUUUGCAAUCAGUAUGGGGAUUAAAUGUUAAAUUCUUCCCCUUAUUAUGCUCAAGCCAAUGGGCAGGCUGAAGCAUCUAACAAAGAAAUUAUUAAGCUCAUCAAACAAAAGAUUGAAGAAAAUCCUAGGAGGUGGCAUACAUUGUUGAGUGAAGCUUUAUGGUCAUAUCGGAUGGCAUGUUAUGGGUCGACCAAAGUUUCACCUUAUCAGUUGGUGUAUGGACACGAUGCAGUGCUACCAUGGGAAAUUAAGACUAGAUCUAGGCGACUAUCUUUUUAAGACCAGUUGGUUGCCGAUGACUAUGCUACUUUGAUGAAAGAUGAGUUAGACGAUUUAGCAGGGCAUCGGCUGGGGGCUUUGAUAAGUAUACAUGAAAAUAAAAAGAGAGUUGCUAGAUGGUAUGAUAAAAGGGUAAAAGCUAAGGAGUUUGCUGAUGGAGAUUUGGUAUGGAAAUUAAUUUUACCGAUUGGGACUAAAAGUUCAAAGUUUGGAAAGUGGUCUCCUAAUUGGGAAGGUCCUUAUCGGAUAAAUCGGUCUGCUCCUGGUAAUGCUUAUAUUUUAGAAACUCUCGAAGGAGUUGAAUUUCCCAGAGCAUUGAAUGGAAAGUAUUUAAAGAAGUAUUACCCAAGUAUUUGGGUCGAUGCAUAACACUUUAAGUGCCGAUAACAUUCCUAUCGGCUAGAUAGAAUGUAUCUAGGGCUCUGCAUAGUGUUUCAGAAGGUGCCGAUAACAGUCCUAUCGGCUAGACUGAAGUGAUUAGAGGUUUCUAAGGGCGAGACAAAAAGCUCAUACAUUCAGCAAGGCUUGGAUGGCCUAUAUGGCGCGCAGACGGAUUGGAUCGGCUUCUUCUAUCUCCCAGAUGUCUUCAUUGGCAGAGCCCUCCACUGGCUUCAACUUCUUCAUCUGCAGCGCCUUGUGGGCCUGAAUGUUUCGUUCUUGUUGGAGGGUCUUGAUCAUUUCGGGUAGCUAACUUUCUUCUUGCUGAGCUUGAGAGAGAGCCUCUUCUACCUGCUUGAGCUCUGCCAGCAGGGCUUCCCUUUUUGCUGAUAGGUCGGAGAUCUUGUGCCUCAGUGUCUCCCCUGAGGAUUGUAGAAUGCUGAUGCUCUUGUGUUUCUCAUCGGCAAGGUGUUUCACUUGCAUUACUUCCUCUGAGAGCUGGGUAUGGGUGGCUCUAUCGGCAAGACGCUGGGUAGCCUUUUGAUACUGGAGCUGGCGGCUUUCCAAGUGUGCAGCUUGGAAAAGAAUUUCCUCGGCAUCGGCUGGGAUUUGACCCCUAAGAGCUUUGAACAGAGCUUUGGCUGGAUCAGAGUCAUCGACCAAUUGCGCAGUGUCUUGGUGUAGCAGGGCUAGCAGAUCCUCCAGUUUUGCUCUGAUUUGUGCCGAUGAAAUCCCUAUUGCCUGAGAGGAGCUUGCUUCCUCGCCCUCAUCAUCAGAAAUCUCGAUGGCGAAGGAAAAUAAGCUAUCCGGAGAGUCUUGUUCCUGGAGAAAAAUAAGAUAAGUUAAUUGAUGAUCAGACAUUAGUGAUAUAAAAAGUGGAAAUCAGAUAACUUGUUUCAAAGCUAUUUCGCGCCUCUGGCUUGUUGAUGCCACCGGUACCACAGGUUGAUCGGCUGGAGUUGCCGAUGGAACAAUGUCAACUGAAAAGAUAAUAAGGUUGCUUAUAAUUUGAAGAGAUAAAUCCAUCGGUGAUAAUGUUGUGGGCAGUAAUUUACCUUGAGGGGGUACAGUGCUUGUCUAUUCUGAAGAAACCACAGAUGGUAUGAUUGGAUCUACCGGAUCGGCAGUCUGCUCAAGCACAUCGGCUGAUGUUUCCUAUGGCUGAGGUGCUUCUUGUGGUUGAGGUGGAGACGGUGCUUGCUGAGUCUGGCUUCUGGUGAAGAAGGGGACGAUUCCACAGGAAUCGGUGACACUGGGUGAGGAAGAGAAGGCGCUGGUGACUUCUGACGUUUUGCUUGUGACUUGGUGCUCUUGGGGCCUUUUCUCUUGACUUGGCUGGAUUGGGGGGCAUCGGCACUUGUCUUGAUACUUCUGGUCUUUGCCGAUUUGCCAGUUUGCUGAUACGACAACAAAAGUUUUAUAAGUACAAAUGUAACAAAAUGCUAAUGAGAAUUUUUGCUAAAACAUAGAAGUUACCGAUGAAGUUCCCAUAGCAGCCGAUGUAUCCUGAAAAGAAUGUGUAAGUAUAGAAUGGAAUUGGUAUAAAUUGAAGAAAUCAAAGAUUUACCUUGAAAGCUUGUGCCAAGGUAGCAGCAGCGACCGAUGGAGAUGUCUUUGCUCGUCUGGUGGUGAUCUUUUGAAACGCACGUUCCGGUGCAUUAGAGCUGCCAGGCUUGGUGCAUUGUUGCCGAUUAGAGAAAUCGGGCCUGAUGGAAGGAGCUCGAUCGGCUUAUCACUCCUGCUAAUAGUUGGUGGUGUGUCGUCAAACUGUUAACAAAGGGGAUCCUAUUUGUCUCUACAUUUAUCAAAUCGGUAGGAUCUGGGUUUCUCAAUUGACCAAAACACUGAACAUGGGGUUGAUCAGUGGGGAUCACAAUCUUAUCGGCCAGUUCCUAAAAGGUUUGAAGAUUGAAAGAACAGAAAAGAAAAAAAAGCAUACUCAGUAAAUAGAUUCGCAAAGGAAUAGGAAUACAACAAGAGUUUGGUAAAAGGAGGAGAGGGAGUUUUGAGUUGACCUCCGAGACGACGAAGUUGAUGGCCAUUUCUUCCCAAGAAGAGGAAAGAAUCGAAGACUCGGAAGAUUGUUGGAGGAGGUCCUUGUCGGAGUUCUUGAAGUUCUCGAAUGGUGCCACCACCAAGAAGGUGGGUUUGAGGCUAUAGAAUGACAGGAUGGGAGAAGAGUACCGGAGAAGGAAGUAUUUAUAGAACAAAAUGGGCAGGGGCAAAUCUGACUUAUAUUUUUGCCACAUCAGUGAAAUCCGAGGGUGUUCAGGUGAAUAUGGUAACUGUUCGCACGAUAAUCAAGAGAUUGCGUAGGUGAUUUGACAGCAAGCGGUCAUGAUUUUGGAGAUAUCUUACUGUGCAGGAUCUCCUGGUCGGUUCAUCAGCCGUCUUCUCUAACGGAAAUGUUGCCGAUGAACGUAUUCUGGGGAGAUUCGGUUCGAGAAGUUGAGAGAUUCGAGGAGCAUGCAGGAGAACCAAGCUGAGGUUGUUUGGAUUUGGUGAUUAAUUACCGACCAGAAGGAGUAAUUGCAGAAAGGUAUCAUUACUGAGAAGAAUUUCGGAGCAUUAAUGAUUUUAUACUCCAAAAUUGGGGGGCAUGUGUUGACACCGUUUCUAGACACGUAUCCUUGGACGCGUAUCUAGAGUUAAUGAACCAUAGAUCGGCAGGCUGGAAAGUGGUGGCUGGUCUACAGGAGGGUUGCCGAUGAGGGUUGGUGCCGAUGGAAGAAAGACAAGAUAUGGCUAAGUCCAGGAGUGGUGAGGGAAUCAUGCCGAUGACUAGUAUUGAUGGUUGUCGAUGGCUGUGAAAGGUGGUCUGCCGAUGGUUAUGAAGAAAAGCGCGGGGGUUGCCGAUUGACUCAUGAUGAUGUACCGAUCGGUUGUGGAGGAUAAUUUAAUGCUUUCCAUAGUUAUUAGAGUUUGUUUUGUAUACGGAUUUUGUUUAAUAUGGAGUUCAAGUCCUAGUCAUGUCUGAUUGUAGCUCUUUUGAACAGGGUAUAAAUAUAGACCUCGUGGCAAUGUAAUGAAUAUAUAUCAAUCAAUCAAACACAAGUUUUUACACAUAUUCUAGCAUCUACUUUUUGAUGACUUUGUCAUAUUUUCUUUUUACUACGAGUUCUUAAGGAUUCUUCGAGUCAAUCUCAACGAAUUCUCGAGUUCCGCGUGAGCACCUCUUGGCCGUGACAUCCGGACGCAUCGCUGUUGUCGGGACCAAAGUGUUCGAGUUAUCACCUUUGUCGGUUGUAAGGUCAAAUCGGCUGGCACGCCUUAACGUUUGAAUCGAGUAUUAGCCCUUUGUGUUUGCAGAUCAGCUUUUGCAUCAACACACUUGCUAAGAUCCCAUAUGUUGCUCAGGUGGACAUAAGUUCCCUUGAAGUUACCCUCAAACACCCUGACCAGGUCGGACUAGUCGUGGAUUUGGUUAGGGGGAAGCUCCUCGAGCCAUCUGCGAGCAGUGUCGGAGAGGAAAAGAGGCAGUUAUCGGAUGAUGGCGCGGUCUUCUCUUCGAGCUCCGCCUAGUUGGCAUGCCAACCGAAAGUCCGCUAGACAUAGCUCUAGCAUAGUCUCAUCAUUGUACUUGGCGAUGCUCGUCGGAGGUCCAAUGGGGUUGGGCAGCGAUGUGCUGCGGAUGGCCCUGCUGAAAACUUGAGGCUGUUGACGGUCGAUAACGUCAACUUUUAUUAGAACUUUAAACCCGAAGGAGAUAUGAAUACACACUAAUGUAGGGUUUAAACUAAAAAUUUCCAUGAGUUUUGCAUAUUCUGUAUUUUAUAAAGAGAAUUUUAGGAAAGCUGAAAAGAGGGAUUCUAGUGCAAAAUGAACACGAAAUUUAUCCACCACAAGAAACAUCACGGGAAAACUCAGGAAGGAUCGAGAAGAUACCCGUAGCAACGGGGGGCCUGGCGGUUGCCAGGUGGGGUCGGCCGACCCCACCCUAGCGCCGGUCGGCACCCCCCUUUAGGGUUUCGCCCCCCUCUUCUAGAAGCUUCCUCCACCGCCUCUCUUGAUGAAUCUCGGCCCUUGGUUAAGUCUAUUUGAUCGUACAACGCAUGUGCACUCCAUUAGGCUAUAAAUAGAGGGGUAGACCCCCUCCGAAGGACACCCCAUAUUAAAUUCAUUUAUCCUGCUUCAUUUGUCAAGAGUGGCCAUAAUUUAGGGUUUCUAGAGAUUAGAAGUAGAGCUCUAGUUGUUCAAGUUCUUAGUAUAGGCUUCCAGCAAGGUUCAAGUAGAGAUCGGGCGCUCUGCUCGGGAUUCCAGAUCUGUCUUCUAGAAAUUUGUAAUAUUAUCUUGUAUUUCAUUAUGACUUUGCUCUACUUUAAUAUAUUGCUAUUUAUUUAGUUCUUAGUCUAUUCUAGUUUCAUAUUUGAUAUAGAUGUGGUUUAUGAUGAUUAUCAUUAUAUGAUCGUAAAGCGCCUGAUUCAAUACUCGAGUGAGUUAGGUGUUGCACAUUAUGUAGACAUGGUGUCUAGAUAUAUUGUGUACCUAUGGAGGCACCCUGAUGUGCCGGGUCGUGUGGUAGUCCAUGUAGGUGACAGGUGCAUUGGUUCCUCUAUAGUCCACCCCCUGUACGUAGGACAAGACUAGCACGGUCGCAAAGGAGGUGACCCUUGUUUCUUAAUAUCCUCAUUAGUGGAUGCUCCUUAUGAUGUUUUCUGAGUUUAUCAUACUAUUGAUGAAAAUGUGUAGCAUGGCGUAGGCUAUAGACUUUAUAUUAGUAAUUACAUAGGUUUCCUUUACUUUUACUAAAUUUCAAGAUUGCCUUGCUACAUUAGUGAGUCUUUAUUUUCUACCUCUGGAAUAUCAUUUACUUCGUUACUCAAUUACCAUUUAUCAUUUAUCAAUAUUGGUGACUAGUUAUCGCUAAAGCAUUAGUAGUAUUGGUUGAGAUAGAUUUGCAUAAGUUAUUUAGUCCUUAUAAGAUUACCUAAGCCUAAUGAAUAGAAUGCUGCUUUAUCCUUUUGGCAUAAAAUAAAUCAAUGAUACUCGGAUUACUUCCUGGGUGAAAUGCUACAACGGGAGAUUUAUCUGUGCACUUGCGGAUAUAUUUUAUUUAGAGUCAUUACAUGUAGAUUAUUGUUAUCCUUGGUUUUUGGCAUCAUGUUAGGGGUGACAACUUAAUAUGAAGUGAUGUUAAAAAUACCAACAGAGGCCCCGGUGGCUCAGGAGCCCUCCAAUCCUCAUCACUGUCGUAGCGCCCACCACGGUGUGCGUUGUAGCCUCGCUCCUUGGUGCCUCCUUGCUUUCGUUGGCGGUGUUCGUUGAUGUCAUGUCGUCCGUCUCACGGGUCCCGAUUGUCGACAAUGUGUUCCUAGAUUGGUGCAGCCUUCUUGCCUCGAGGUGGGGCCUCCUGAUGGACGGAAACUUCCCUCUCAUGUCGGUCUGGCUCGGUGUGCUUUUCUGUGGCCGCCCCUCGAUGUCAGGAGGCUGAGCUUUCAGCCUGUUGGGCUGCGGCAACGUGGAGUAAGCCCUAGACCUCAUCCCAAAUGCGGCAUGCUUGCGAAUUCGAGGGCUUGAGCAUAUUACGCAACAGCAUGGUUGCCGCCACUAUGUUCUGUCCUGCUCGAGGGAAGUGGUUGAUGAGUCACUUUGGUUCUCCGUCCUCGACGAUCUGUCGAUAGACGUCUCGAGCGCAACCUCGAGCCCCUCCGCCUUGUGCUUGGUCUUGCUCGAGAGCGCGUUCCAGCUAGUUCAGUCGAUCUCGAUCUUCGUCGAGCUUGGCCUUUAGCUCACGCAGUUGGGCGAGCUGCGUAGCCUUGUCAUCUUGAGGAGAUGGUAGGUCUAGUUGCCCUUCCUGCCUAGGAGUCCUGGGGUUCCCUCCUACUACUAGAGCAGAGGCAGCGGCACCAGCAUUGCCAUCAUCCAUGGUGUCGUCAUCUGUGGCCACAACCCCGUCUACGAUGUUAAAGCAUUGCCUCGUGGGAUCAUAGUUGUCGUACUCAGAGUCGGGAUUCUCCGCCUGCUACUGUCUCAAUGUAGUGAGCGUGUACCGUCCUGGUCCAAGAGCUCGGGGCCUACAUAUUUGUGGAAAGCCUGAGCUUCCAUCUAUUGACAGGGUCUCCCUCAGCACUGUUACGCCACGUGGGUGGGUUGGUGAUUGCUCCACGUGCACAUUGGCAUUGGGAUGGAUUGUCAUGGCAAGGGAUGUCGUGGCGUUGUCGAGGUCGAAUGGGAGCAAGCGCUUGGUGGCAAUCAGCCCAUGUGGUAGCAGGAUGGAAGGCAGUGAAAUCGCGUGGGGGAUGUCCUCCUUUGGUGCCGCCGAGUUGCGAUCGCCCCUAAGGCUAUCUGGCUUGGUUGCUACCCUAGAGCGUAGACUGGACGGACCCUCAACCAGAGGGCUUGGCUGAUCCGCUUGGAGCGGCGAUCGCGUGGUAGGCACGGGACGAUGGUGACGGUGCUAACUGUGUCUCCUCUGGAGCGGGGAGGCAUGAUGGUGAGGUCGACGCGUGGCCCUCGAUCGUGAGGGCACAAUGAAGGCUCCAUCCAGUCCUUUGACAGAGAGCAGGAUCAUGUCGUAGCCAAAGCCGGUGGACAUGAAGUCGAGACUCCCAAAACAGAUCACCAUGGAGCGUGGAAUCGGUGAAACAGAGGUGGCCAUCCAAAAAAAGAUGAAGUAAACACGCAGGACCCCUACCUGGCGUGCCAACUGUCGGUGUUUUAACCCCUUGGGGUAGCACCAACGAGUGAAUUUGUGUGCGUAUAUUCCUUUCCGGAUGGUGAUGCAAGAUGAACACGAGGAUUUAUCCUGGUUUGGGCAAGUGAAGGCCCUACGUCCAGUGAGGGGGCGAGGAUUUGUAUUAUCUUGCACUUAAGUGCUUGUAUAGCGGUAAAUACAAGAGAGUGUGGAUGUGGAUUCUAAGUCCUAACUAUAUGAAGGUAGGACUAUGAGAGGUGGUGCAUGCGAGUGUGGUGUUAUAUGUAUUGUGUUGUCUUGUGUAUUGCUCAGCCUUGGUGUCCCCUUUUAUAGAUAAAGGGGAGGCCCAAGGUUACAGUAUGUAGGUGCUAGAGUAGGCUUCGAUAGGGGUAUGGCGCGAGUCAACUCGAGGCUUUCAUACCGGCGUGGCCUCAACCGGUCUUGUUGUAGUGUACUUGGCGAUGAUGGUGCGUGCACCUCGUGGGCUCACCCUCUGUAUAUCGCUUGGUAUUGGUCCACAAAUACGCACGCCUGUACAUCUUGGCAGUCAUCAUGUCGGGAGUGGUUUGAGCGCUGACUUCUGUCGCUCAACCCUUCUCUAGAAAGGAAGAGACGACUUCAAGGGCCUCAUGGUUUAGGCGGCGUCCGUAUGCGAGAGCGUGGACCAUUACCCCUCCAAGGGCUUCUGAGGAGACGCCACGCCUGCUGCAACAGUAUGAUCAUGUACCUUUCUCUGAAUUUGGAGAUAAAGCUGAUAAAAAGUGGGAUUUAACGGGUGUUGAUAUUUGGGAACGCAAUAAGGAAUUGAUCCACAAGCGCACGGAUAUCGGUGAGCACUUCACCCGGGAGGUUAUCCAGAGUAUCAUAUUUAUUUUUUUACCACUAGGAGAAAGAGUGCAUCUGACUAACCCGGUCUAUUACUACUAACCCUUUAGGCAACAAAGAAUGUUUCUCGAUGUGAGUGAUAAAUAGAGAAGACUGCAACCGUAGUCUCCUUCUAACCCUGGUAAGGAUGAUCUACUGUUCUAUUGGGGAGGCUAACGGAAUCUAGACACCACAAAGGAUGUUCAACCCGCACCUAUAAACCCUAUCCUUCCUGCUAACGAGAUAUGGUCUACAAAGGUAACUCGGAAUUGUCACGUUCCUCACUACUACCACGGUCUAGCUAGUCAGGGAAUAUCUAUGAGUACCCCAGCCUAAACACCACAUUUACGCCAGCAAUGAUUACUCUAAACUCUACGCGAAGAGAUUAAAGUAAACUCAUAAACCAUAAGAACAAUAAAACAAGAACUUACUAGAAUUUAGAAGUCAAAAUACUGAAGAAUCCUAGGAGCAAGCCUCGGGUUAGGAGAACUUGAUCCUGCAGGUACAAGCUCGGAGUAGACACCGACAGGCCGGGCUUCCUCCAAUCUACACCUCCACUCUAUCUCUCUCAAUCUAGUAGAAACUAGAAUAUCUAUUUCUACUUUACAUUGGUUGCUAAGCCUAAAAAGAAAUUUUAUUUAGAGAAGAGGUUUUCCUUCGAGGGCACCCCUCAACUCUAUGAUAACUUCUUGUCUUCUCCAGGGGCCAGGGGGUCUCCUUAUAUAGUCCUCCUCCUCUAUGCGUUUUUGGGUCGGUAGGCGAUGUGGUACUACGUUAUCCUUGAUCCAUUAGGUCGGUGGAACAUCGUGUGCGAAGAGAGUCCCGAACGGAGUACAGGAGGGGGCGGGCGCCCAGGUCCUCAAGGCGGGCGCCCUGGGCCUGGCCCUUUUCGGCCUCUGCUUUCUUCCCGUGGCUUCUAGAGUCUUCUAGAUGGUAGAAAAUCGCGCGGUGCGUUGAUAUCUCUAUGUAAUCCCGACAUGUGGGCCUUUCUUCCUUAUUUCCUGAUAACCCCCCUGCAGAAACAGAUAAACAACAAAACUCGUGGAAUUCUGUCAGAUCAAACCCUAAUUCUAGGUGUUGGUUGCAUAUUGGUCCUUUCUCUUAUUUAUCUGAUAAUUAAAAUUGAUACUUAAGAACCGUCAACAAAUACCCCCAUACUUAGGCUUUUACUCGUCCUCGAGAAAAGGAUGGUUAAGAAUAAUAUCUGGGGUAAAACAUUUUAAAACAUUCUUUUCAUAACUGCAGGGUAUUAAAAUUCCACUGUGUACUAUAGUCAGGGAAGUAUAUAGUUAAGAGUAAAGAUCCUUUCUUCUCAAUCCUGUCACUUGGAGUUUUUGUAUAUUUUUGAAAGAAAGUUAGCAUACCUUUUUAUCCUCAUAGGUUCUCUCAGAUCACUCAUUAUCUUUUAUAUAUCUCACUGAGGUUGUUUUAAUUUACAAAAAUUCUCAAGCAUACUUUGUAUUUAUUGCCUGAUCAAAACGGGAUCCGAGGAGGGGAAUGUCAUACUCUUAGAUCAAAGACUUUGGAAAUUAAAAUCUUUGUCAACUCUUGCUGGCAUAUUGCUUAUUAGAGGGACCAUGGGCUAUCACUUUCUUUUUAUUCUUUUCUUCUUUUUUUAAGUGGAUACUGAGGUACCCCUAAUUCUACUGCCGGACACUUGUCCAUUUUUUUCUACGAGGUUGUUGAGCACUUGCUCCUUUUUAUUUCCUCAAAAUAUCUUUAUUUUUGCAUAGCCCAUGCCUCUAAUGCAAUAAUACUUCGGAAGAGUGAAUCUUUCUGAAUAAAUGUCUUGAUCUUAGGAGCAUGAUAAAUCUCUCAACAAGGGUCUAACUCAUUUUGAACAAACUCAAUACAGAGUAGAUAGCUUUUAUAAUCAUAAUUAAAUUUUUCAGUUUUAUCAGGCAUAUAAAACACUGAGGAUGGUAGCUAGAAUUUUGAAGAUUUUGAAAUAAAUUCUCCAAGCAACAAUGAUAUCAAGAAUAAGAAACUCAUACUCUACCAUCUCAAAUUCCAUAUUGACUUAAGUAACACAGGGUUUUAAAAUGAUUUUCAAUAAUUGCAAGUUUCAGGAAAUAUCACAGAGUGAGAUUAAUCAUGAUUAGAAACAUUUUAAUCUUUAUCAUGUCGGAAACAAUAUUCUGCAUAAUCCAAGAUAUGUGUAUGUGUAAAGUAAAAUGUGCAGAGUGUGUACCUGAAUCGUGGAGUGGUGUAGUUGAAGUGUGUUUGGCAUGUUGAGGGAUCUCCCCCAUACUUGUUUUCUGCUUUCUUGCACAAAAAUAAAGUAGAGACACACAAAACAUAAUAAUAAUAAUAAUACUCUUUAUUAAUCUUGAGGCAUUUAUUCCAAAUGACUAGUAGCAAACUGACAAUAAUAGUAAACCUAAACCGAAUUUAAAGAUAAAUAACUUAGAUGCAUUUGCCUCAAGGUCUAAUCUAGAUAACUUGGCGGCGCUCUAAUUCUUUAAUCUUCUUAUUGGCACUGGCAAGAUCCUGCCUAAGGCCUAGUAUAACAGUGUUGUGGUUAGAGAGCUGCCUAGUGAGGGAAUUAACUGAGGACUGGAGGUCUAUGAUAACUCUGUCUAGCCUGCGAACGUCCUCAUCAAUAUCUACUAUAGUCUUGCGAUGCUUGGGAGGUGUCUCAAAAGUAUUGAGAGCGUGCUUCGGGGCUGCCUUUGGAGGGAUGAAACAGUCUUUGGUUGCUCUAAUCCCUUCGAAGUAAGGCCUUUCCUCCUCCGUAGUGUAGCGAAUACUGCUGAUCUCGUCGCUCCGGUUGGUCUUGACUCCAACGACCCUCUCAUUUGGUCUAGGUGGAAGGAUCCUUGUGCCAGUUGGCACCUUGAUGGUGGUCUUCGUCUUAGAUGAUGAUCCCUUGAGGAGUAGGGGUUGUGGCGGUGCGGUGAGAACUGGUUGAGCAUGGUAGGAUUGGGCGGAGCUGCGUUGGUGUAAUGGCAUAGCUUCUAGCUAUCGCUCUGUGUUGGCCGGGACGAGAGCACGGGCGUCGGGGUCUUCCACAGGCUCCAUGUUGAGGUUGAAGGGGAUGACUUCCCAAUCAUCGUGGAACUUCUCAGCCAUUGGAGCAGCGAGGAACUAAUCAAGCUCUAAUUGAAGAAGAAGAGAAGGUUUGGUCGUUUGGUGUUUGAAAACUGAUGUCAGGGGUCUGUUUAUAUAGGGGUCAAAAAGUGCCUCUAGGGGUUGUUCGGGUUGCUCCCGUCGAUGUGCGUGCGAAACUUUCCAUCUGAGGGAUUAUUCGGACUAGCAUAAGUGCAUUUUCCAUAACAGAGAAAAUCGGGACUGAGGGGGAACAGGAGCUGGGCGCCCGCCCUCUUGAUCUAGGCGCCCGCCCUCUCUUUGUCUCCUCUUUGGAUCCGCUUCCUCGAGCGUGUUUCUAAAUGCAAAACUAUUUAGGCAAAUAUAUGUAUGACCCAAAAACGUCACAUUAAAAAGGUCGGGCUCUAAUUCUCCAUGGGAAGGAAAAAAAUGGACUACAUCUAUUUCUUCUAAUUCUUUAUUUGGUUCUAAAAUAAUUUAAGACGUUGACCAUUUACCUUGAAUAACGUACCUUCGUCAUUUUGAAGUGUGAUAGCUCCGUGGGAUGAUGAAUUAAUUACCUUGAAUAGUCCUUCCCAUUUGCUCCGAAGUUUUCCAUGCCCGAAAAGCUUCACCCUGGAAUUAAAAAGUAAUACCUUAUCUCCGGGUGUGAACUCCUUCUUCUUGAUUCUCUUGUCAUGCCACCUUUUGACUCUUUCUUUGUAGAUCUUCGAAUUGUGAUAUGCUUUCUCUUGCCAUUCUUCUAAUUCUGAUAGUUGCAUUCUUCUAUGAUCUCCAGCAACAUCUAGGUCCAUAUUCCAUCUCUUUAUGGCCUAGUGUGCUUUGAACUCUAGUUCAACAGGUAGAUGGCAAGUCUUCCCGUACACCAAUUGGUAUCGAGACAUUCCAAUUGGGGUCUUGUAUGCUGUCCGGUAUGCCCAUAGUGCAUCGGGUAGCUUGUCUUUCCACGCCGUUCCCAUUUCAUUUACUGUCUUCUGAAGAAUAUUCUUGAUUUGCUUGUUGGAAGUCUUUGCUUGGCCACUUGUCUGAGGAUGAUAGGGAGUAGCGACGUUGUGACGGAUUCCAUGUUUUGAUAGAUAUUGCUUGAAGCGUUUAUCGAUGAAGUGUGCUCCUCCAUCACUUAACACUAGUCUAGGGAAUCCAAAUCUUGGAAAUAUAUUUUCUUCAAAUAUCCUCUUCGAACUGAUGUUGUCGGCAUGCUUGCAAGGUAAUGCCUCUACCCACUUGGAGACAUAGUCAACUACCACCAAGAUGUACUCACACUUCUUUGAUGGAGGAAAUGGACCCAUGUAGUCUAUUCCUCAGACAUCAAAGAGCUCGAUCUGAAGGUUCUUGGUGAGUGGCAUUGCAUCCCUUGUAUUUAUGUUCCCGUGCCUUUGACAUGGCCCACAUCUUCUGAUAUAUUGCUUCGUGUCUUCAUACAUUGUAGGCCAGUAGAAUCCACACUGCCAGAUCUUUGAAUGUGUACGGAAUGCUCCAUAGUGACCUCCAUAUGGUGAUGAAUGGCAUCUGUCGAUGAUCUUCCAUCCUUCCUCAGUGGUCACACAUCUCCUGAGUAAGCCAUCAGAGCAUACUCGGAAGAGGUAUGGCUCAUCCCAUAUAUGUAAACGACUUUCUUGAUUAAGCUUCUUCUUGUUUGCUCCUGGUGGUACAUACCCUGAAACCAUAAAAUUAACAAUAUCUGCAUACAAGGGGUCAGACCUGUUAAUCCCGUAGAGCAUGUCGUCCCGGAGUGAAUCAUCGAUGGGGGUUUCCUGUGGACUCUUAAAGUACAUUCUAGACAAGUGAUUAGCAACAAAAAUUUCUACUCCCUUUUUAUCUUUUAUUUCUAAGUCAAAUUCUUUGAGUAAUAAGAUCCAUCUAAUAAGGCGAGGUUUAGCAUCUUUUUUAGUGAGCAAAUAUUUUAGUGCAGCAUGAUCAGUGUAAACAAUUAUUUUAGCUCCAACUAAAUAAGAUCUAAAUUUAUCAAUGGCAAAGACAACAGACAGAAGCUCUUUUUCAGUGGUUGCAUAAUUAAGUUGAGCUCCUGUCAAAGUUUUACUAGCAUAAGCAAUUGCAUGAUGCUUCUUAUUUUUAGUUUGUCCAAAAACUGCCCCCACAGCAUAAUCACUGGCAUCACACAUAAUUUCAAAAGGCAACGACCAAUCAGGGGGUUGAAUCAUUGGUGCAGAGAUGAGUGCUUUCUUUAAUAAAUUAAAAGAUGUUAGACAUGCAUCAUCAAAUUCGAAAGGAGCAUCCUUGGCUAGCAAAAGAGUAAGUGGUCUAGCAAUAAAUGAAAAAUCUUUUAUGAAUCUACGAUAAAAACUAGCAUGUCCAAGAAAGCUUCGAAUUCCUUUUAUAUUCACAUGUGGAGGUAGUUGUUCAAUUACUUCAAUUUUAGCUUCAUCUACCUCAAUACCUCUUUCAGACACUAAGUGUCCCAGCACUAUUCCUUCCCUAACCAUGAAAUGACAUUUUUCCCAAUUAAGGACUAAGUGCUUUUCUUCACAUCUUUGCAAAACCUUGUCUAAGUUUCCAAUACAACUAUCAAAAGUUUUUCCAUAAAUAGAGAAAUCAUCCAUGAAAACUUCCAUAAUCUCUUCAAUCAUAUCAGAAAAUAUAGACAUCAUGCAUCUUUGAAAAGAAGCUGGUGCAUUACAUAACCCAAAAGACAUUCUACGGUAAGCAUAAGUUCCAUAUGGGCAUGUAAAAGUGGUUUUGCUUUGAUCAUCGGGAUGGAUCAGGACCUGAUGAUACCCUGAAUAUCCAUCUAAGAAACAGAAGAACGAAUGGUUUGCUAACUGCUCUAGCAUCUCAUAUAUGAAAGGUAAAGGAAAGUGAUCCUUUCUCGUGGCUUUGUUUAGUUUUCUAUAGUCUAUGCACAUCCGCCAUCCUGUGACGGUGCGUUGUGGAAUUAGCUCGUUCUUUUCAUUCAUAAUAAUAGUCAUGCCUCCCUUUUUAGGCACAACUUGAACUGGGCUUACCCACUCACUGUGCGGCACAAGAUAUAUAAUCCCUGCAUGCAGCAACUUUAUAACUUCCUUUUUAACUACCUCUCUCAUAGUGUUAUUAAGUCUACGUUGGGGUUCUCGAGAAGGUGAAACAGAAGGAUCUGUUGGAAUACGAUGGGUACAAAUCAUAGGACUGAUUCCUGUAAGAUCUUGUAGUGAGUAGCCGAAAACUGAGUGAUGUUUCUCAAGAAUGGUCAUCAAUCACAGAGUUUGCUCCUGAGUGAGUUUAUCACUAAUGAUCACAGGAAGCUCUGGAUUAUUGUUUAGGAAAGCAUUGAUAAGACCGGGUGGUAAAGUUUUAAGCUCUAUGGGGGGUCUAGGUGUUUCUGCAAACUCAUCUAAGGGUUCAGGUUCAGAAGGUUCGACUUCUUCUUCUAUGAAGAAAGGAGUUUCAACUUCUAAGUCUGAUUCUUCUAAAAGUUCAAGAGAUGCAGCCUUUACCUCCUCCAUAGGAUCAGGCAAAAGAUAUGACUCGGCCAUAUUAUUUAAGGAGUGUGAAAUUGUUAUUGGGAAUUUAAAGGCUUUUCCAAAAGAAAUGUGUAGCUUUCCAGUAUGACCUCAUAAAGGAGUCUUCUAAAAGGUUGUCCUAUCAAUAGGUCGAAGUCCCAUGUAUCAAAGAUAUAGAAGUUCAAAUGAACCAUGGAGCCUUCUACAGUAAGAGGUAGGGCAUUAAUAAUUCCAAGACUGGGGACUAAUCGUCUCGAAGAUUCCUUUAUGACCUUUGUUGUGGGGGUUAAGGCAAGGUUUUUAAAUAGUUUAAGUGCAAAAGAUUCAGACAUGAUGUUGAUCCCAACAACAGGAUUAUAAAGACCAUUAAGUCGAUCAGAAUUAUAAGCACAACGUAUAGUUAUAGAGGGUGUGUCCAAACGGAUCACAUCAGAGGAAAGCUCUGAUUCCUCCAACCAUUCCUACUCAUGGCUGAGAUAAGCUCUCUCAAUUGAUAUUCACUUGGCAAAUAAAUGCUAAACUAGCCGUUUUGGGGUUUGUCAAUAGAAUGAUAGUUUGAAAUGUUUCCAAAAUCGGCAAAAAGAUCGGAUUCUAUAUCCAGCAUGAAGUCCGGUGGUGGAAUUUCUUCCUCUUGUGGCUCAGAACAUGGGAUAGCUAAUGUAGAUGAAGAAUUUGGCAGAGUGGCUACUUCGGCUUCGUAGGUUUCAUCAUGAAGGGUAUUAUCCAUCUCAGCUUCUAGGAUUCUAUCUAGGAUCACUCUAGCUUCAUCAGUAGGGAUGCGAAAGAAAGAACCUCUAGAUAUUGUGUGUAGCAUUCGUUUGUGAUUUUUCUGAAGACCUCGAAAAAAGUGAAAUAAAAGAACAGGGUCUUCAAGAUUAAGGUUUGGACCAGAUUCUAAAAGAUCAGAAAACGUUUCCAGGAUUUUCCCAAAGUUUCAUUAUCUUUUUGUUUAAAAGAUAGGACUUCGAGUCUAAGGUCGGCUAUACGAUCGAGGGAAUAGAAAUCUAGACAAAAGUUGGCUCGUAAAACUCCCCAUUCACCUCGUUGUUGACUUACCUUCUGACUGUACCAUUGUCUAGCUUCUCCCCUUAAAGAAAAAGGAAAAAGCUUCCAACGUAAAGUUUUAUCAAAAAUGCCUUCAAUGCGAAGACAAUCACAUGUUUGCUCAAAAUCUCUAAUAUGAAGGUAAGGGUUUUUGUCUUCCUUUCUCGAAAAAGAUAGGUUUUGAAUCAUGGCAAUCAACCUAGAACUUAACUUAUACUGGGAUGUUUGGAUAGGCUGUGAUGAUUCCCGUGGUAAAAGGUCAGUUACUGAAGGGAUUGCAGAUUCAUGGAUCGAUUUAGAAUUUUGGUUUUCCAUGAGGUAAGAGUAAAGAAAAUAAAUACAGAAUAUAAAAGAUAAGAAAAGAUAAAAGUAUAGAUACAAGCUAGUAGUAAGACUCAAGGUUAUCUCAGCAAACUGUCUUUCUCCCCAGCAACGGCACCAGAAAUGCUUGUUGAUAUUUGGGAACGCAAUAAGGAAUUGAUCCGCAAGCGCACGGAUAUCGGUGAGCACUUCACCCGGGAGGUUAUCCAGAGUAUCGUAUUUAUUUUUUUACCACUAGGAGAAAGAGUGCAUCUAACUAACCCGGUCUAUUACUACUAACCCUUUAGGCAACAAAAAAUGUUUCUCGAUGUGAGUGAUAAAUAGAGAAGACUGCAACCGUAGUCUCCUUCUAACCUUGGUAAGGAUGAUCUACUGUUCUAUUGGGGAGGCUAACAGAAUCUAGACACCACAAAGGAUGUUCAACCCGCACCUAUAAACCCUAUCCUUCCUGCUAACGAGAUAUGGUUUGCAAAGGUAACUCGGAAUUGUCACGUUCCUCACUACUACCACGGUCUAGCUAGUCAGGGAAUAUCUAUGAGUACCCUAGCCUAAACACCACGUUUACGCCAGCAAUGAUUACUCUAAACUCUAUGCGAAGAGAUUAUAUUAAACUCAUAAACCAUAAGAACAAUAAAACAAGAACUUACUAGAAUUUAGAAGUCGAAAUACUGAAGAAUCCUAGGAGCAAGCCUCGGGUUAGGAGAACUUGAUCCUGCAGGUACAAGCUCGGAGUAGACACCGACAGGCUUGGCUUCCUCCAAUCUACACCUCCACUCUAUCUCUCUCAAUCUAGUAGAAACUAGAAGAUCUAUUUCUACUUUACAUUGGUUGCUAAGCCUAAAAAGAAAUUUUAUUUAGGGAAGAGGUUUUCCUUCGAGGGCACCCCUCAACUCUAUGAUAACUUCUUGUCUUCUCCAGGGGCCAGGGGGUCUCCUUAUAUAGUCCUCCUCCUCUAUGCGUUUUUGGGUCGGUAGGCGAUAUGGUACUACAUUAUCCUUGAUCCAUUAGGUCGGUGGAACAUCGUGUGCGAAGAGAGUCCCGAACGGAGUACCGGAGGGGGUGGGCGCCCAGGUCCUCAGGGCGGGCGCCCUGGGCCUGGCCCUUUUCGGCCUCUGCUAUCUUCCCAUGGCUUCUGGAGUCUUCUAGAUGGUAGAAAAUCCCACGGUGCGUUGAUAUCUCUAUGUAAUCCUGACAUGUGGGCCUUUCUUCCUUAUUUCCUAAUAACCCCCUGCAGAAACAGAUAAACAACAAAACUCGUGGAAUUCUGUCAGAUCAAACCCUAAUUCUAGGUGUUGGUUGCAUAUUGGUCCUUUCUCUUAUUUAUCUGAUAAUUAAAAUUGAUACUUAAGAACCAUCAACAACGGGCGCACGACCCAUCAUCACGGUUGCCGUGCCUAGAGGGUUAGAUGGGAGCUUGUCAGUCACAUUAAAUGCUCUAAAUUCUGUACCUGCAAUAGGCGGCGGGGGCGUGCCUUUGCACUCGAGGCUAGUUGGUUCGCUCGAUGUUGUUUCCAUAAUCGAGGGUUGUCCGGCCUCGAGCUUUUAGGCAUUCUCUCGACCCUGUUUCCAUAACCGAGACCAGGGUCGAUCUGUGUGCGUAUUAUGGGUUGAGUUAUAGUGUCGAUCAGUGCGUAUUUUGUAGGGAGGUGUCGAGUCUAGCUCCAGGGUUAGCCCUUUUUCCUUUUUUGGGGAUAUCUAUUUGGCUACCCCUUAUUGAUAUCCUCGUCAAUAUUUCAUACUUGUUUUGCAUUGAGAUUGUUGACACUGAUUUUGGCAUGUGCUAAGAUAAUCUAAUGGACCAAUCGACAAUAGGGAAAUUAUUGCAUUGUACUAACAGGAAGGUGCCGAUGAAGAUCAGCCAUGGAGGUUGGUGCUGAUGGAAGGUGAUGAUCAGUAGAAGGGUUCUCUUAGCCUGAAUUCAGAAGUAUUGGUUAAUAAGGUCAGAAGAUGGUGUUUGUCGAUUCAAGGGUAAUUGUCGAUAGAGCUUGUGGUGCUGCGUUGCUGAUGCCGAUGAGGGAGGAUAUGAAGACUGCUGCCAGAGGAGCUUGUGGCAUGCCGAUAGAGCAGGAGCUAAUGAGGACUUCAUCGUGAUUGAAAUGGACACAUGAAUAGAUAGAUGUUGUUUUCUUCUUUCUAUAUUUGUUGGAGUAUGCCCUAAUAUAGGAGUCAUGUUUUACCUUAAGAAUUAAAUCCUAGUCGUAUUUGUUUGUAACUCUUUAGACCAGGUUAUAAAUAUAGGCCGAGAGAUAAUGUAAUGAAAAUCAAUCAAUAUCAAAUACAAGUUUACUCCUAUUUUCGAAUCUACUUACUUUUCGACGAUUUCGUCAACUUGCAUAUUUUAUUUUCAUGAGUUCUCAUCGAUUCGGCGAGUUGCACAUUUCAGUGUAAUACUUGACAAUCCUCGAGUUCCGUGUGAGUAUCUUUUGGUCGUGACAUCCGGGCGCAUUGCUGUUCUUAGGACCAAAGUGCUCAAACCAUCAUCCUUAUUGAUCAAUAGGUCAAAUCGACUAGCACGCCUUAACAUUGAAAUCGGGUAUUAGCUCUUUGUGUUUGUAGAGCUACAUUUGCAUCAACACAUCUUUUGGCACGCCCAGUGGGACAAAUCAACGUGGUCAACAUGUUUAGCUCUGAGCUCGAUGCAGACAACAUCAUCGGUGUGACAGAAGUAGAUCUCAAAGAAGAACAGAAGCAAGCUAUAGAAAAGGCUAUGGAGGAUUACAAGAAACUUUGUCUAAAAUCAUUCAGUUUGAACAGGAGUGGAGAAGUCAUCUAGAAACAAGAUCUACCAUUGGCUCGGCAGGUUACUUUUGACUCCAAUCCUAGUAAACUUCAAGAGAUGGUUAAUUCUACAAUUAAUCAUGCUUUAAUUAACCACUCCAAUGUGUUGUCCAACACUAUUUACAAUGGCAUGGUCUGAACUUUCAAAGAAUGACAGGCACCACCACUUUGUGCUGGUCCGGCUUAUCAUCGGCCAAGACUGUCAUUAGUUGUUGCUCCAUCGGCUCCUUCAGCCGUUGCGGGUACAGAAGUCACGUCUCCUCCGAGUAUGGCAGGUGUGCCUAAUGAUCAAUCUACACCGAUGAGAUCAGAUCCAAUGCCUUCAGGAGGGCGAGUUCAACUCAAUACAGACCUAUCGGCAUCAGCUAUGUCAGGUUCUGUCUUCCAAAACAUCCAGGUUCCUCCUAAUUGGUGGGGAUAUGGGAUGCCUCUGGAAUUUUUGGAAAAAUAUUUUGCAUUUUCUCAGGCACUUGAAAUAGCAGGGAAGGCUCCAGUGCCAUCGACUCCUCCAGUUUCACCGAUGACCCAGAUGCCUCAAUAUGCUACGACAACUACUGUGCGGCCAGUAAUAGGGAAUUUUCAGAUACCAUGAUUUCAAUUAUCUAAUGCGAGUUCAUUGGCAAAUUCAUUGCCGAUGCAACAGAGGACCCCUAUUAUGAAUCAGCCUGUAGCAUAGUUCAUGUCUCAAGUAGGAUAUUGUAACCCAGCAAUGACACCAAAUUACCAGCCAUCGGCAAGCUUUGUGCCGAUGAACACUAGGUUAGGACAGUUACCCUUUCAGCAUACAGUACAGCAAAAUCAUCAAGUUUUAGGGGUUCAGCUAGGUCACAUGCAGGUUGGCUUUCAGAAUCAGGCAACGGCAGCUCAGCCGAUGAAUCUUGUUCAGUAGAUUGGUGGACCACAAGCAGUAGCUAAUAUGCCGUUUCCUAGGGAUCGUGUGCCACAAAGACACAUGGAAGCAUAUUAGCAGAUUCCAGAGAUUUAGCCAGUGCAUCGGUAGGAUGCUAAUGCUUAUUGGGCCGAGAAGAUAGCAGAAAUUAUGAGAGAUCAGUUUGGAACAAAGGCCAAAGUUAAUACUUAUUCUUAUCUGACACCAAAUCUGCCUGCAUAUGACUUGAUUCCCCUUCCAAAUCGGUACAAGGUGCCGGAUUUCACUAAGAUUUUAGGGCAAGAUGACACAUCAACAAUGGAACCUGUCAAUCGCUUCAUUAUCCAGUGUGGAGAGGCUGCUAAUAGAGAUGAAUUAAGGGUUCGGUUGUUCUCAUCAUCUUUGUCUGGAUCGGCUUUUCUUGGUUUAUUAAUAUUUUAUUCAAACAUUAUCCAAAUGCCACCAAAGUUUGUGUGAAAUCAGGGAAUAACAUUUAGCUCACAAAUUUUGGUGAUUUUUGGACAUAUUAAUAAUUUCCUAAAAUUCAUUGAAGUUUUAUUUACUAAAUAAAGGAUACAAUUUUUAUACUUGUUCAAAUUAUCAGAAAAUGGAAUUUAACAUUUUUCCUAUGUUCUACCCACUGCAUAGAACAUACCCAAAUAUUUUCACUAUUUUUGGAUCAGCACAUAAUUUUCUAUAUAAAUUCAAACAUAAAACACUUUUAACGUAAAAAGAAAAAGGAAAACACAUUGUGCUAACGCGGCCGGCCCGCCUAACCCCGGCCCAGGCCGGUCCAUGCGUCUCCCGCGUCACGUGCGGGCUCCCUCUCUCAGACACGGUCACUGAUGGGCGGGUCCCGCCUGUCAGUUCCGUCUCCUACAUUGCGUCGUGGCACCGGCGAGCCCAGGCAUGCCGUCGGCGAGCUUCCGGCCUUCGCGGCCGGGCGAGCUAGCAACUCCAGCCCCUAGCACACCCCUGAAGCAUUCAAGCAGCGCUCUACGCUCUACUAUCCCUUUUGGCCGCACUCAUGGCGGACGGUAACGUCGGCCCUGCGAACACCGGACCCUACAGGCAGGCAGAUCAUAAACCAAGGGGCGCACAAAGAUGAGUGGCUCACCGCGACUUCAAAGAGCUAGAUAGCGGUGGUAGAGGUGCUCGGAGGAGGUCUGGCCACGGUGAGGUGCUCACGGUGGUGGUUUCGGCCGGAGUCGGACGAGAACGGCUCGGGUUGGAGCUACGGAUGGUUAGAGCUUGGGGUGAGGGGUUCAGGAGGUAGCUGAGUUCCUGGCGAAGCUGUGGAGGUGCUUUGGGGGCUCGGACAGGGAGUAGGCAAGGUGAAAAGCGAGGUGGCUGCGGUGUGUGGUCACUGGGAGGGGUGGAUGUGCAUGUCAGGGGCUUGUCCACUUCAUGGCGACCUCGAACAGCUAAGCAGCUGCAUGGCCGGGCGCGCACAAAGGCAGCGCCUGCCCGCUCUGCGGCAGCGCUGGACCGGCGCCCGUGAUCCUCAUCGGGACACUAUAGCAAGCCGUAUCCACCUCUUUUUGUUUUUUGCAAAUUACUCCCAAAAUUUGAACUAAAGUCAAAUUUCUGCUAAAACAAAAGUUGUUCAAAAUUUUGAAUACUACAAAACACCUUUAAGGGUCCAGAGCCAAUUUUGAGUGGAAGAGUAUGAAUUUUGACAACACAGUUUGAAAUUCAAAAUCCCAAUUUGGGGGAAUUCCUUUUUGAAUUGGGGCAGAAUAGAAAUUCCAAAGUUACUUUUGAUUUUUGUCAAUAACUUGAAAAAUUCCCAAAAUAAAAGUUGUUCAAUUUGAUGAGCCCUACAACUUUCAUGUUCACUUUUCAAAAUUCCAAAUAGAUUUUAAAUUUGGGAUUCAAAAUGGAAAAGGGGAUAAUUUCUAGAAAUCAGUAUUUUCAAAAUUACUUUGAAUUUUGUAUUGAAACUUCAAAAACUCAAAACACCAAAUUUGUACAUCUUGACAAGAUCUACAACUUUUCUUUUGAACUCAUCCUCAAAUUUUACAUAGUUUUUAAGUCGCACAAAAAGGGGCAAAACUAGGGUCUUAAAAUCAGGGUUUUCUCCUACUUUUCCAUAGAACCUUCCAAUACUGGGGAUUACACAACCACACAGGCAUCAUUUCAUAACAUAAGCAAACUUUAGUUCCCUAAGCACAAGCAACCAAAUUAAACUUGUUUUAAGUUCAUGCAUCAGAAUGUGCUCAACAAAUAUGCUAUGCAAUGCUUAUGAUGACAUGAUCCAGUUUUAGUGUCUGUAACAUCAAGGAUGUUACAGGUAUAAUCGACAAGAUCAAUUCUAGAAUAAUGAUCAGUGUUUUAGUGGAGUGAUCAGAGGGAGAACGUCAGUCCAUGAUUGGCCGGGGGGCAGGCUUAGCGUGCAUGACAGACUUGGUGAACGUGUUGGUCAUUUUCCAAGGAAUCAAGAAGAGCUUGAAGAAAUGGCAAAUGCGUGGGUUCCCGAUGAAUUUAUAUUCUGCAGGGAUGCUAAUAUUCAUCGAGUAGAAUCAAGGGAAGUUAGCUACCAGCCGAUACAGAAGACAAAGCUUCCCCAGUGGUGCCAAGGAGGGUUAACAAGGACACAGAAGAGAAGGAUCCAGCGAGAACGUCAUGAAGAUUUGAAUAGGGAAGAAAAUUCUUCUAAGUCUGAGAAUCGGCAGUAGUCGGACCGCAAGGGGAAAGGACCAUCGGUAGAUGUUAACAUGGUAUUUAUGUUGCCGGUGGAGUAUCUUGCACCCUUUAGUGAUGAUGAGGAAAUAAAUUUCCCUGACCAGAUAGCUCAGUUGGCACUUGAUAGAAUGACAGUUGUGUUUGGGAAGCCUUCCGAUGAUGAAAGACAGCAUCUUAAAGCUCUGUUUGUCAAAGGCGAGGUUGAUGGGCAGCCAAUGUCCAAAAUACUCGUUGAUGGAGGGGCUGCGAUCAACAUUAUUCUGUAUGUAGUAUAACGGAAACUUGGCUAGGCAGAUCAGGAUUUGACCAAAAUAGAUAUGAUGUUGAAACAUUUUGAAGGAAUGUGUCUCCAGCUAAGGGAGCUAUAUGUUUUGAAUUAACCAUCGGCAGCAAGACCUUACCGAUGACUUUCUUUGUCAUCAGUGGAAAAGGUGCAUAUAAUUUACUAUUAGGGAGAGAUUGUAUUCAUGUCAAUUGUUGUAUUCCUUCUACAAUGCACCAGUGUCUUGUUCAGUGGAUAGGUGACAAAAUUGAUAUUGUCCCGGGAGAUUCUUCAUAUGUCAUUGCAUCGGUAGAAGCAGAUACCUAUGAACAGACUAGAUGCAUAUCAGGGGAAGUUUGGCAGAAAGUUUUCCUCAAGGUUGUCCAUUAUGAAAUUCCACCGUUCCAAGCAGUCGGUUUUGAUGAAGAGUUUUAAUGGAUAGGUUCACUGAUGAUGGAAAGUUAGGACAAGGGUUUACAUCGGUUGAAGAUUUAAUAGAAGUAGACAUAGGUAAUGGCGAUAGGCCAAGACCUACUUUUAUUAGUGCAAAGUUAGAUUCUGAAUGUAAGCAGCAAUUAAUUGAGUUGUUAAAGGAAUAUAAAGAUUGCUUUGCUUGGGAUUAUAUCGAGAUGUCUUGUUUAGACCGAUCAAUUAUUGAACAUCUGUUGUCGAAGGUAUCAAUAAGGGAUACCCUAACUGACGCACAUGACGAGAGGACCCGUAUGCCAGUCGAGGCCUCCGACUCAAUGCCACCGGUCACACAAACGGUCAUCGACGUCCAAAGUCUUGAACACGGAAAGGGCGUCAUACGAAUCGAUUAGGGCUCAAGCGCAGGUAACCGUCGAAUACGGAAACAGGCUCAUACGAAUCGAAAGGCCUCGAGCGCAAGGACGCCGCCCGCCGCCCGAUACGGGCACGGGGACCAGGGCAUUUAAUGCGUCUGCUGCGCGCUCACCUAACCCGUCAGUCAUGGGAAGCGUGAUAGGGAACAAGCACCCAUCCAAUCGUUCUUUUUGCAGCCUUGCCCACCAAAUAAGACAGAGUGUGGCAGGGCGCAGCAAGGUGGUCGGAACAUCCCGUCAAGACCCCCCUCAAGACAUCCAAAGUUAGCGCUCCACCCAACGAGGCUUUAAAGUGGUAUUCGACCGUCGAGCAGACACGUUCCUUCCCAGAGAAGGGUCGGGCAACAGAGGACGGCACCUCAACCACUCUGACGCGGCUGCAGUCGCGACGUACGAACGUGCAAUGGAUAAACCGGUCCAGGACAAUGCACAUGAGCAGGAUCCAGGGGCACGCGUAAUCAUCAUCAAAGUACCAAGACAAGACGGCUCGAGGCCACGCCGGUACGGAGGCCUCGAGUAGGUCAACGCGCCAUACUUCUAUCAAUCCCUAUUCUGUCGCCUAUACAUGUACCCUAGACCUCUCCUUGGAACUAUAAAAGGGGAGGUCUGGGAGCGGAUACGUAGGAGAACACUAGUCACACGUAGUAGAGAAACCUUACUCCAUCUUCAUUCAUACCACGCCUGUAUUCACCCCUGUACAAGCACUUAGGUGCAAGAUAAUACAAAAACUCCCCCCCACUGGACGUAGGGCCUUCUCUUGCCCGAACCAGGAUAAAUCUUUAUGUCUUUUCUUGCAUCACCAUCUGGAAAGGGGAACACGCAUUAGUUUUACUCGUUGGUGUGACCCCUCGGAGGGAAAACACCGAUAGUUGGCGCGCCAGGUAGGGGUCCUGCGUGUUUUUCACCGAUUUCCCAUCUUUUUCUAGAUGGCCACUCUUGUUUCGCCGAUUCCAUGCUCUACGGUGAUUUGGUUCGGGAGCCUCGAGUUCAUGUCCACCGGUUUCGGCUAUGAGAUGAUCCUACUCUCGGUCAAAGGACCUAGAGGAGCUCGCAUUGCGCCCGCCCGAUUGAGGGCUCCCAGACGGCCUCGCCACCAUGCCUCCCCGCCCAAGAAGAGGCAUGGACAGCGCCACCAUCACCCCUCUACCUCGUCAUGAUCGCCAGUUCGUGCCAGGUGGGAGGUGACGCAGGAGCCGAUAGCCCCGCGCACCAAAACCGCGGGUAUGACGGCCCGACGCCACGAGGAUCACACGACAACGAUGGGAGACGGCGUGCCUUGCACACUCUCGCCUGCCCCGAUGCUACUUCCACACGGGCUGUUCGCCCCAAGAAGCGCACUGCCGUUCGGUCUGGACAACGCUGUGGCACCGCUCGCCAGGGCAAUAUGUCCAAACGCCCAAACAUACGUGGAGGGACCAAUGGUCCUCCCACACGACACUAGAGCACGGCAACAGACGUCCGAGCUGUCGGAUUUCUCUUAGGUACGAGGCCUGCACCACCUAGGUCCUGGGCGAUACACGAUCACCUCACUCAGGCAACGCCUGCUCGAGGAGGGACGCAGAUGCUUCUAUGCCGCCGAGCCAGACUCCGACUUUGAGUCCGACAGCUACGACCCUACUAGGGAAUGCUUCCAUAUCGACGGGGCGGUAGAAACCACGGACGAGACACAAGACGCCGUUGCCGGCGGUCGAGCCCCUGCAGCAAGGGAGGAUCCCAGGACGCCUGGAAACGACGGUCACGUCGACCCCCCUCCGCAAGAAGACAGAGCCGUGCAACUUGCGCAGCUACGAGACCUCAAAGCGAAGCUCGACGAAGAUCGCGAGCGCCUUGUCCUGCUUGAACAGAUCCUCAAGCAGGACCAGCCAUACCCGCCUGGCGGAAGUGUCUGCAGACGGGCUCGAGAAGUACAUCGACAGAUCGUCGGAGAUGGGGAGCCUGAGCAGCCCGUCAGCCAUUUCCCUCGAGCGGGUCAGAACGUCAUGGCGGCAACAAUGCUGCUACGCAAUAUGCCCGAACCAUCGAACUCCCAAGCGCGACGGAAUUGAGACGAGGUGUAGACUCUGCUCCAAGUGGCGGUAGUUCAGCUGGCCGAGAGCUCGGCCUCUCGACGUCGAGGAGCAGCCACGGAGAAGCGUGAUGAGCCGGCCCAGAACGAAAAGGAGGUGUCGGUCCACCAGCAGCUGCCCCCUCGAGGGAAGAAGACAGCACUCGUCCUCAACCACCCCAUCGACAAUCAGCGACGACACGACGCGACACUAGAAUCGUCGCCGUUGAUGUGGGGACGUGGAAGAGCGCGGUUACAACGCCCACCGCGGCGGGCGAUACGACAGCGAUGAGGACCGGAUGGCCCCGGAACUGCCGGGCCCUCGCAUGUUCAGCAGAGCAAUCCGCAGCACGCCGCUACUUAGCCCGUUUCGACCCCCAACCAGCAUUGCUAAAUACAACGGCGAGACCAAGCCAGAGCUGUGGUUGGCCGACUUCCGACUUGCCUGUCAGUUGGGUGGCGCUCGAGGAGACGAUCGGGCCAUCAUCCGGCAGUUGGCGCUUUUUCUCUCCGACACCGCCCGUAGAUGGCUCGAAGAGCUCCGGGCCAACCAGAUCCAUGAUUGGGUCGAUUUGGUCAGAGUAUUCGAGGGUAACUUCAAGGGGACCUACAUACGGCCUGGCAACUUGUGGGACCUCAGCAAGUGCAAGCAGAAGUCAGGAGAAACUCUCUGAGAGUAUGCUCGACGCUUUUCAAAGCAGCGCACCGAGCUACCGCACAUCCCAGACCACGACGUCAUCCUAGCCUUUGUCUCGGGCACCACCAGCCAAGAUUUAGUGCGGGAGUUAGGCCGGAAUCGCCCUUAGACCGUCGACGAGCUGAUGGACGUAGUGGCGAACUACACUGCACGGGAGGAAGCGGAUGGUGCUUUCUUCAGCUGCGAAGGGGGCAAAGGCAGGUUGCCAGCAGAAGACGAUGAGGGCCCCAGUCGAGUACCCAAGAAGAACAAGAAGAAGAAGAAAGCACGGCCGUUCCAACAGGAGGCCCUCGACGAUGACCUCGUCGCCGCUAUGGUUCGUAAAAGACCUCAAGGCCCCCCUGAAGGAGCUAUCUACAACAAGAUGCUGAAGGAGCCCUGCCCUUACCAUAAGGGAGGGGCAAACCACAAGCUCGAGGAUUGCCGCAUGCUGAAGAGGCAUUUCGACGGCCUGGGAUUCAAAAAGGGUGACCAAAAGAAAGAAAAGAGCAGCGACAAGGGGGACGACAAAGAAGACGAGGGUAUCCCGGUUGUCCACGACUGCUACAUGAUCUACGGUGGACCCUCGACGCAGCUAACCGCAAGGCAGCGCAAGAGGGAACACCGCGAGGUCUCUGCGGCAAGGAUGGCGGUUCCCCAGUACCUCAACUGGUCAAACACCCCCAUCACCUUCGAUUGAGACGACCACCCCGACAAAGUAGUCGCCCCCAGCGUCUACCCACUCGUCGUCGACCCCAUCAUCGUCAACGCUAGACUCUCGAAGGUACUGGUGGAUGGCGGCAGCAGCCUGAACAUCAUCUAUCUCGAGACCCUCGACCUCCUCGGUAUCAAAAGGACGCAGCUCCAACCAAGCGCGGGCGGUUUCCAUGGUGUCGUGCCUGGAAAGAAGGCGUUGCCGGUAGGUCGAAUCGACCUACCGGUCUGUUUUGGCAUAGCAGCCAAUUUCAGAAAGGAGGUCUACACCUUCGAGGUGGUGGGAUUUCGAGGCACGUACCACGCCAUCAUCGGACGUCCAGGCUAUGCCAAAUUUAUGGCUAUCCCCAACUACACCUACCUGAAGCUGAAGAUGCCCGGACCCAAGGGCGUCAUUACCGUCAGCUCCUCCUACGAGCACGCGUACGAGAGCGACGUCGAGUGCGUCGAGUAUGGGGAAGCUGUCGAGAUCUCCAUCGAGCUCGCCUCGAAGCUCGAGGCCCAGGCCAUAGAGGCUCUAAAGCCCAAGCGUCACGCGAGCAGCUUCGAGUCGGCAGAAGGAACAAAGAAGAUCCCGCUCGACCCCAACAACUCCGACGGCAAGGUGCUGAUGAUCAGCGCUGACCUCGACCCCAAAUAGGAAGCCGUGCUCGUCGACUUUCUCCGUGCAAACGCCGACAUGUUUGCAUGGAGUCCCUCACAUAUGUCGGGCAUACCGAGGGAAGUCGCCGAGCACUCCUUGGAGAUUCGAGCCGGUUCCAAGCCAGUGAAACAGCGACUGCGUCGCUUCGAUGAGGAGAAACGCAAGAUCAUUGGCGAGGAGAUCCACAAGCUUUUGACUACCGGAUUCAUCAAGGAGGUUCACCAUCCCGACUAGUUAGCAAAUCCUGUAUUAGUUAAGAAAAAGAAUGGGAAAAUGAGGAUGUGUGUCGAUUAUACGAGUUUAAAUAAAGCAUGUUCGAAAGUUCCUUUUCCAUUAACAUGCAUUGAUCAAAUUGUUGACUCUACCGCGGGAUGUGAAACCCUUUCUUUCCUUGAUGCAUAUUCUAGUUACCUUCAAAUAAAAAUGAAAGAGUCCGACCAGCUCACGACCUCUUUUAUCACUCCUUUUGGGAUGUAUUGUUACGUGACCAUGCCGUUCGGUCUUCGAAACGCGGGAGCGACAUACCAGCGAAGCAUGCUCCAUGUUUUCGGUAAACAUAUAGGGUCGACGGUCGAGGCAUACGUCGACGACAUCGUCGUCAAGUCAAAGAAACAAGGAGACUUGAUCCAGGACCUCGAGAUCGCUUUCAGUUGCCUGCGCACCAACAAGAUCAAGCUCAACCCCGAGAAAUGUGUCUUCGGCGUACCUCGAGCCAUGCUCCUAGGAUACAUAGUUUCUCAAUGCGGCAUCGAGGCCAAUCCCGAGAAUGUCUCGGCCAUCACGAGAAUGGGGCCGAUCCAAGACGUCAAGGGAGUGCAGAAAGUCACGGGAUGUUUGGCGGCGCUAAGUCGUUUUAUCUCGAGGUUGGGAGAAAAGGCAUUGCCACUAUAUCGGCUCUUGAAAAAAGCCGAGCGUUUCUCUUGGACCCCCGAAGCCGAGGAAGCCCUCGAUAACCUAAAGAAGACAUUGACCUCUGCCCCAGUCCUGGUCCCACCUCAGCCCACAGAACCUCUGCUUCUGUAUGUUUCCUCGACGACCCAAGUGGUCAGUGCGGCAGUAGUGGUCGAAAGGCAGGAUGAAGGGCAUGCGCUGCCAGUCCAGAGGCCGGUCUACUUCGUCAGCGAGGUACUCUUGGAAACCAAGACACGGUAUCCACAGAUCCAGAAACUAAUCUACGCAGUGAUCCUCACGCUACGCAAGCUGCAACACUACUUCCUCGGCCACCCUAUCACGGUGGUCUCGUCCUUCCCCUUGGGUGAGAUCAUCCAAAGUCGGGAGGCCACGGGAAGAAUCGCCAAAUGGUCGGUCGAGCUCAUGAGUGAGACCCUCACUUAUGCGCCCCGCAAAGCUAUCAAGUCUCAAGCUCUAGUGGAUUUCAUCGCGGAAUGGACGGACUCCCAGCUCCCCUCGGCUCAAGUUCAAGCAGAACUAUGGACGAUGUAUUUCGACGGCUCUCUCAUGAAGACAGGAGCUGGGGCAGGCCUGCUAUUCAUCUCGCCCCUAGCCGUUCAUACGAGGUAUGUCAUCGGAAUACAUUUUGCUGCAUCCAACAACGUCGCAGAAUACGAGGCCCUUAUCAAUGUGCUGAAGAUCGCCAUCGAGCUAGGAGUUCGGCGCCUCGACGUUCGAGGCGACUCCCAACUCGUCAUCGACCAAGUGAUGAAAGCCUCCAACUGCCGCAACCCAAAAAUGGAGGCAUACUGCAAGGAGGUACGACAGCUCGAGGACAAAUUCCACAGCCUCGAGCUCGUCCACAUCGCCCGAUGCUACAACGAGGCAGCCGACGAACUCCCUAAGAUCACGUCGACUCGAGGCACGGUCCCGCCCGACGCAUUCUCGAGGGAUCUGCACGAACCAUCCGUCGACUUGGGCUCGGGGGCUGACGUCGAAACCACCGCCCUCCAAUAAACCGACGUCAUCAAAGCACUGCUAGCGGCAGCAGAAAUAAUGGAGGCAGAACAGCGACCCAGUCGACCAUUCGACUGGCGCACACCGUUCCUCGACUGCCUGAUUCGAUGCGAGCUACCAGAAGAUCGAUCCGAGGCCCGCCGUAUCGCUCGACGGGCCAUGUCAUACGUAAUCUACGGCGAAGAUAAUGAACUAUAUCGACGAAGCCCGACAGGAAUCUUGCAGCGUUGCAUCACCAUAGAGGAAGGCCGAAAGCUGCUCGAGGAUCUACACUUGGGGGCUUGUGGCCACCACGCUGCUCCACGGACCCUCGUAGGGAACGCUUUCCGACAAGGCUUCUUCUGGCCAACGGCCGUAGCUGACGCCAUCGAGCUUGUACGCUCGUGCCAUGGGUGUCAAUUUUACGCCAAGCAGAUGCAUCUUCCCGCCCAAGCUCUCCAGAUGAUCCCCAUCACGUGGCCGUUCGUGGUGUGGGGACUCGACCUAGUAGGGCCUCUACAGAAGGCAGCAGGAGGAUACACCCAUUUGCUGGGGGCCAUCGACAAAUUCUCCAAAUGGAUCGAGGCUCGACCCAUCAAGAACAUCCGCUCUGAGCAGGCCGUCCUUUUCUUCACCGACAUCAUCCACCGGUUUGGGAUUCCCAACAUCAUCAUCACCGACAACGGCACCAAGUUCACCGACAAAAAGUUCUUGGACUUCUGUGACCGGCAUCACAUCCGUGUGAACUGGUCCGCAGUAGCCCUCCCUUGAACUAACGGCCAGGUCGAGCCUGCCAACGACAUGAUAUUGUAGGGACUCAAACCAAGAAUCUAGAACCGGUUGAAGAAAUUUGGCAAGAAAUGGGUCGAAGAGCUCUCUUCGGUCCUAUGGAGCUUAAGGACGACGCCUAGCAGGGCCACGAAAUAUACCCCAUUCUUCAUGGUCUACGGCUCUAAGGCCGUGCUUCCAACAGACCUUGAGUAUGGGUCUCCUCGACUCAAAGCCUACAACGACCAGUCAAAUAAGGAAACUCGAGAGAACGCGGUCGACCAGCUCGAGGAAGCUCGAGACAUGGCCCUCCUCAACUCCGCCAGAUACCAGCAGAAACUUCGACGCUACCACGACAAGCACGUACGCAAAAGGGAUCUGAAUGUGGGCGAUCUUGUUCUACGGCGGCAGCAAAGCAACCAAGGGCGCCACAAACUGACUCCACCCUGGGAGAGCCCAUACGUGGUGGCCGAGGUCCUGAAGCCAGGGACAUACAAGCUCGCGGAUGAAAAAGGGGCAGUCUUCACCAACGCGUGGAACAUCGAACAACUACAUUGAUUCUACCCCUAGAAUUUCAAAGCUUUAUGUUCCCAUGUAUAUUCUGUACGAAGACCUUAUGAAUGAAUGCAUGAAUGGAUAAGAUCUUUCCCUGGAGUAAUUUACUUUUUCAUUGGUCGAAAUCUCGACGUUAGAAGGGUGUACCAACUAUGACCCAUCAUAGUUGAUACCCCCUCGGGGGCUAGCAAGGGGGGACCUCUCCCCCUAGUGUCUAAAAAACCAAGUGAUUUUUUCUUUCCUACCACUAAACCACGCACAGUCGAGUAGUAGAGGCACCUCGAGCCCCUUAAGGGCCGAGAGACGACGAGCCUGAGAACUCCUACGCCCCCGGGCUAUGGUAACUCUACUCACUCCCUCACCCUCGAGGCAAUCGAGGUUGCCUUAACAAAAGACCAAACGGGGAAUACAGACGUAGCCAAAAAGGAAACAAAAGAGGGUGCGAACAAAGGAAUAAGCAAAUAUUUAGAGAUCUUAUAAACUGUCGACGAAAGCUGGUCGGCAGUCUACCUUGGGGUAUACCCACGGUAGUAGUUUAUCGGUAGACGGUGCGCAAACUACGAACUCGAUGGUGACGCAAGACAUGGACAAGCUUUUUAUCCAGGUUCGGCCGCCGAGUUGGCGUAAUACCUACGUCCUGCGUCUGAUUGUAUUGAUUUGUGUUGAGAGAAUCUGAUGAUCUAGGGGGGUCCCUUGCCCCUCCUUAUAUAGUCUGGAGGGCAGGGUUAUAGAUCUGGAAACUAAUCCUAGUUGGUUACAAUUGCCAUGGAUAAUUCGAUAUCAAUUCCUAUUCUAACCGACUAGAAUCCUACUUGAUCUCCACAUCUUGUUUCCUUGCGCGAAACUCCAAGCUAUCGGAUCAAGCCUCGAACUCGUCUCGUAAUGGGCCAAGCCUCCUGGCCGAAGUCUAGCCGUAAGGGUAUAGGGGUUUAUACCCCCACAGCUAGUCCCCGAGCACCAUGUAUUGUGAUGUAACACGCCGUCUUGAGCUUCUUCGAUCAGUGAGACUUAACGUCUUCAAUAAGCGGUAAAGUCGCCCAAACAGUUGCAACGGUUCUUUGACCAACUCAAAAGACAGUUGAUCAACAUUGACAUCGAAGAAACGAGUUGUUCGAAGAAUGCAUGGUGCUCUAAAUUAAAAAAGAUUUCUUUCCUGGUGAAGUGUGCCCACUUUACUUUUUUGAAAGGUGUAAACCUAAAAAAAGCAAACAUAUUCACCGCAAGGUGAAGUGUGCCCACUUAGUCCCCGAGCCUGGUAGUAGGUGACGUAGGCACAUGGUGCCAAGGUCAAAAUAAAAGUCCUCAAAGAAAUUCUGUAACUGAGAUGCAUCGCCAGAUGCAUCGUACCGAUGUAGUCCCCGAGCUUGCUGGAAGGCGAAGUAUGAGCCUUGUAGCAAGGUCUAAAAAAUUGAAUUCACCAGUCCAUUUGCAAUUGAAUAGACUAAUCGACCAGUCCCCGGGUGUAUAAUAGUUGUUCCGACCAGUCCCCAAGCACCAAAUGCGCACCUUAGAAUUCUGCGUUUCUCUAUUGUACGACCAGUCCCCGAGCAUCGAGUGCUCGGUGGUCGGUGCAGUCUUUGAAGUUCCGAGUUAAUAGACUGGGCGACCAGUCCCCGAGCGUCGAGUGCUCGGUGAUCGGUGCAGUCCUUGAAGUUCCGAGUUAAUAGACUGGGCGACCAGUCCCCGAGCGUCGAGUGCUCGGUGAUCGGUGCAGUCCUUGAAGUUCCGAGUUAAUAGACUGGGCGACCAGUCCCCGAGCGUCGAGUGCUCGGUGAUCGGUGCAGUCCCCGGAUUGUUGACUCCCUGCCAUAUUUGUCUUCUUGUUAUUUGAAAAGAUCUUUCCAGUUAAAGUUGACAUGACGAGACCUCCUGACGGGGUGUCAGAUGGAUGCAUGAAAAGUUGCGCCUGGCAACUGUGCAGCCGCCCUUUGCAUGGUUUGAGAAAAAGGAAACCAUCAAUUGGUACAAAAACUCCGCCGCAUUAAUUGUCUAUAAUCAUUGUAAACCGAAACGCCGCAUCUGCCGCAUGGUCCGCCCACUUCCCGAGAAUACGGGAAGUGGGAGAGGUGGAGUUGCGGGUUAUAAGAGCCUGACAGUUCCGCCUGUACUGCUUACCCUGCCAUUGCCUUCAAGCCUUCCACUCUCGCCUCCUUCAAUCACCUUCAUCUUCGUAACCCAAGUCCACUUCCUCACCUCCAAUGGCGAAGAGCGACUCCAAGAAGAGGGCCGAACUGAUGGCCAAGGAGUGGAAGAAGUCCCGCAGCACCGCCAAGUCGCUCGGUGACCUCAUCGACAUGGGACUCCUGCACAGCUCGGAGCUCGGCGGCUGGAGAGCGCCGGAAGGAGAGAGCUUCCCCGACCCCCGUGCCGGUGAGAUCGUCGUGUUCGAAGAUUUCAUUAAGAGGGGCCUUGGGGUUCCUGUUCAUCCUUUUCUUCAAGGUCUUCUUUUGUAUUAUGAGAUCGGGAUUUGCAAUCUGCACCCGAACUCGAUUCUCCUUAUCUCCACUUUUAUCCAUUUGUGCGAGGCCUAUGUUGGCAUAGAGCCGCACUUCGAUCUCUUUCCUUAUCUUUUCUGCUUAAGGAAAAAGGGAGCAGUUGGAGGCUCCAAGAUUGUAGGUGGAGUAUACCUCAAUCUCCGGGACGGGAUGAAGAACCGGUACCUGAACGGCCCUUGGAAUACCUCUCUUACCGAAUGGUAUAAGAAAUGGUUCUACGUCAGGGAGGAGCCGGGCAGCUCCACAUUCUGUGACGUUGGGUACAUCCCCGAGAAGAGGGUUAGUUGGACCGACCGCCCAGAAUUCGACGGACAAGUAGCAGACCUGAUGAAGCUGAUCGACUGGUCGUGCUUGGACGGGCUAGGGGUGGUCGGCAACUUUAUUUGCUGCCGGGUGAUGCCCUGCCAGAAGAGGGUGCACUCGGCUUAUGAGUACGCCGGGAGCCAGGACCCGACCAGGAUGAGGCCUGAGGUCCUGGAGAAGGAAGAGGUGCAGCAGUUGUUGAACGAACUGUUCAACUUUGCUGACGGAGGCUUCAUCCGUGGUAGUGAUCGGAUGCAAGCUUUCAAGCUGGGACGACCAGCCCCUAAGGUAAUGUCCUUUACUGACUGUGACUCCUUUGCAUUUGUUAUAUUGUCGGAUGCUGACUUGCCUGUAUUUCUCUUUGUAGAUCGGAGAUGUAGACAGGUGCACGGUGUAUGUGUCACUGGCGCCUGGGAUGGAGGAUCCCGCAAGGGAGGAUCCACUGGUAGAGGACGCUGCACGGUGUGAUCGGUACACCAGCAGUGAGGAGGACCAGGCCCGCCCCGUCCCGACCACCGAGGAGAGGGUAGCGGGGAAAAGGCCAUUGCCGGCAGAUCCUUUGCCGACACCGACGUUGCCGGCAGAUCCGCCGGCGGAGAGCAGCCAAGCGCCGAAGCGUCGUCGGCUCGUGCGGAUCGUUGACGACGACGAUGACGAGGUGGCGGCACCGUCACUAGUCCGACGACCUCAGAGCCCCCCAGAUAAUGCGCCGGCCGCUACUGAUCGGGUGGCCAGCGAUCCUCCUGCUCCGCGAGUUGUCGAGAUGGGGGCGCAGGUGCCGGCCGGCCGGGCGAGGAGGAGGUUCACCGCGACCCACCGUCGAUCGGACCUGUAAGUGUUCGACUUACGUAUUUUGGCCUCCUCUUUUUUUUAAUUGCACUUGUGUUCCUUUAGCACGGCAUCGGAUGUCGACCCCGGCCAUGCUGCCGGCCAGGGGACGGGUGAGCCUGUCUGCGCCGCUGAAGACGCGGCACCGCUGACCUCGGGGCAGCCUACGGCUGCAGCCGUGCCUGUGAGCACCGGGGAGCUCCCGGCCGCGGCACCAACUACGGACAGCGGCCCGACCAGGGCUGAGGAGGCUACGGGGACACCUCCCCCAGCUAAUGCCACAGAAGGAGAGGGGAGAGCCCCGACCCCUCCUCCCGCCGAUGAGAGUGAAGUCCCCACGCCGCCCCGAGCAGGGGCCGCUUCGACUUCAGGCUCCCCGGGUCUCGCCCAGGGGCCAGUAAUGCCUUCGACUGCUACCGGGGGCAAUGCGACGGGUGAGGAGGAAACCCGGGCGGCCUCCGACGAUGAGGUGGAGGAAAUUGAAGGUCGUCCCCGCGAUGGCCGCCAACACGUGUAUGUGUGGCGCCAACGCGGGGAUCACUUCAUCGGGCAUGAAGAGCUCGCCGAAACCGAGGAAGCCGCCAGGGUGGAGCGCGCGGCCAAACGCCUCGUCGACGAAGUUAAGGUAAGCGGUUCUUUGCACUGUUGUACAUUCUGUGCAUUGUCUUGUUUGGUUGUCAUAUGUUCGUUUUGUAGGGCGCAAUGAAAACGGCGAAGUACCGGAAACGGUGCUUUGACCAGAUAGAAGGUGUCGUGGCCGAGAACAAGGCCGUGGCUGCGGAGGUAGACCGGCUGCGGUCGGAAGUCAGAGAAAAGGUGGCCGAGAUGAACGCCCAGGAGGAGCGUCAUUUCGAGCUCACUCGUCGCUUGGCCUACCAGUACCGGCAGCGAGAAGGUUAGUCGCGCGCUCAGAGCAGCUUUGUAUAGCUGUGUAGUUUGCUUUACUGACCAGGUUAUGAUUCACGUAGACUUCGAAGAGGAGGUGGCGCGCCUCCGACAAGAGAAGGAGCAGCUCAGCCAAGAGCUCGCCGGUGCGCUGGAGUCCGGGCGCCGAGCAGGAGAGGAAUUGGGUCGGAAGGACCGGGAGUUAUCUGGUAAUGGGUGCCGCCUCGUUAUCUGCCGCUUGUCGCCCCUUUAGUUUUUGAUAUGCCGAAAAUAAUGUCCUGUUUCGUUUGCAGUGCUCAAGGUCAACGCCAAGAAGCACCUGGAUGAGCUGGUCAAGGACCGGGACUCCUGGAAGGUCAACUGUUGUAAGAUCUGGAAAGGAGUAUCCCCGGUCCUGGACCUGAUCAGUCCCGAGCUCCCGGAGAGCCAGCCCCGAGCGCCGAAGUUGACCCCAGUCGAGAAGGCGCAACGAGCGUGGGGCUGGCUCCAGCAGUUCGUGAAGGACGCCGGGGAGUUUGCUGGCGCGCAUGUCCUUAGCAUGGUGCGCGCCCAUUACCCUCCGGUCGACUUGACCAGGCUGGAGAAGGGGUACCCCAAGGAGGUCAGCCCGCAGGAGGCGGACGAGCUUCGGGGUGGUCUGCUGGAUUUGUCGUCGACGGUGAUCGGCGACAUCAAUCUGUGCGGAACGGCCACUCCCCCAGACCAGCCGGGUUCAGAUAGGUCGGCCAGGGAGCUGUCAGGCGCGUCCAUUGCAGGAGAUGGGCGGUCGACGCCUGCGGUCUCGACCAGCCAGGCGCCGGUGGCCCCGACCGCUUCGUCCGGGCAGCAGGGCCAGGCGGGUGAUCAGCCCGAGCAGCUAGGCCAAUAGAGUAGUCUGUAGGAAUAGACCAGUGUCUGCCCGUCAGGGUUUUAUUGUAAACUUUGUAUGUAAAGUUUGUAAUAAAGUUUGCUUUUUGUCAUGACUGUCGUUUUGAGCGCUGUAUAAUUGUCAGAGUGAUGUGUCACCGUUUUCGACUUUGUAGUCGCUAAGAGCUUUCGUUGCAGAAGUUUUGCCAAGUUCUGCGUGCAACAAAGUGUAGGCAAAAAAUAGAAAAUUUUAUUAUUGACAAUUAUAAGAUACUUACAAAGGAAAGUUAUUAAAACUUUAUGGAUAAAAUCGUCGCAGUUUGUCUAUGUGCCAAGAGUUGGGCACGCGUGUUCCAUCUGGGUAUGCCAAUCUGUAGGACGUGGGUCGUGUGACCUCGGUGACCACGAAGGGUCCUUCCCAGGGAGUGGAUAGCUUGUGCAUUCCCUCCUGGCUUGUUCUCCACCUAAGUACCAGAUCGCCGACCACGAAAGAACGGUCCUUGACGUUCCUGUUGUGGUAUCGCCUGACUGCCGCGAGAUAUUUUGUUGUUCGGAGACAAGAAUUCAAACGCUUUUCCUCCAUGCAGUUGAUUUCGAGUUCUCUGGCGUUGUCGGCCGUCGCCUGGUCGAAGUGUUCGAUCCUAGGGGAUCCGAAGGUUAUGUCAGACGGCAGGACUGCCUCGGAGCCGUACACCAUGAAGUAGGGAGACACUCCUGUGUUUCGACUGGUCUGAGUUCGGAGGCCCCAGACCACUGCCGGCAACUCUUUCAUCCAUCGACCGGGUGUUCUGUCGUUCUCGGUGUACAGCCUUUUCUUUAGGGCAUCAAUGAUCAUUCCGUUAGCACGUUCAACUUGACCAUUGGCCCGUGGAUGAGCCACUGACACGUAUUUUAUGACUAUGCCCCUGUAGUCGCAGAAGUCCCAAAAUGUGGUGCCAGUAAACUGAGUACCCAGGUCGGUGAUUAUGCUGUUCGGGAUGCCGAAUCAGUGUAUGAUUUGAUUGAGGAACUCCACAGCCUUCUCGGAGGUUGCUUUGACCAGAGGCAUGUAUUCGAUCCACUUGGAGAACUUGUCGAUUAACACGAAAACAAACUUGAAGUUGCCCGGGGCUGGUUUAAAUGGCCCGAUCAUGUCAAGCCCCCAGCAAGCAAAGGGCCAGGACGACGGGCUGGUUUGAAUUUCGUGAGCGAGUACAUGGGUCCUCUUAGCGAAAAACUGACAUGCUUCGCAGGGUCGAACCAAUUUUUCUGCGUCGUUGACCGCGGUUGGCCAAUAAAAACCUGCCCGGAAGGCUUUUCCGACCAGCGUUCUGGACGCAGCGUGGUUGCCGCAAGAUCUAGCAUGUAUGUCUUCUAGGAGCUUGAUACCAUCAUCUUGGGGUAUGCACUUGAGUAGUAGUUCGGAGCUUGCGUUUUUUCUCAUGAGUUUACCAUCAACCAGGAUGUAGUUCUUUGACCGUCGAAUGAGGCGCUCAUUCUCUGUUUUGUCCUGAAGGCCUGUCCCGUCCGAUAUAUACUUGAUGAACAGGGUACGCCAGUCACGACUACCGGUUGUCAGAGUGGCAUCGUCUAUGAGCAUUGCCUCGGUGGGUUGCUUGUCGACCAGGGUGGAGCCUACGCUUGGCUCGUGAAUGUCCUAGACGAAAAUACCCCGCGGUAUGUGGGCCCGAGAUGACCCUAACUUUGACAACGCAUCUGCUGCUUGGUUCUUAUCCCGGACCACGUGGAUGUACUCUAUGCUAUAGAAGUUGGUUUCCCAUUUGCGAAUUUCUUUGCAGUAGAGAUCCAUCUUCUCGUGGGUUGCGUCCCACUCCUUGUUGAGCUGGUUGAUAACCAAGGCGGAGUCGCCAUAGACAUAGAGGCGCUUGACUCCCAGCUCAACGGCUAGUCUUAUGCCCUGCAGGCAUGCUUCGUAUUCGGCGAUAUUGUUUGACGCCGGAAAAAGGAUCCUAAGGACGUAACGCAGUUUGUCCUUGUUGGGUGACACGAACAGUAUCCCAGCACCGGCACCGUUGAUGUUCAAGGACCCGUCAAAGAACAUUGACCAGUGGUCGGAGACAUCAGGAACGGGAGGCUCGUUGAGAUCCGUCCGUUCAGCAAUGAAAUCGACCAGGGCCUGAGACUUGACUGUGGUGCGACUCUGGAACUCCAGGGAAAAUGGGCAUAAUUCCAUCGCCCAUUUCACGAUUCUGCCGUUGGCGUCUUUAUUGCGCAGAAUGUCCCCGAGAGGGAAACUGGUUGUUACCAAGAUUCGAUGGCCGUUGAAGUAGUGCUUCAGCUUUCUUGAUGUUAUUAGAAUGGCGUAUAUAAGCUUCUGUAUUUGUGGGUACCUGGCCUUGGACACAUUUAAGACCUCACUUAUGAAGUAAACGGGUCUCUGGACCUUAUAGGAAUGACCUGGUUCAUCUCGCUCGACCACUAUUGCUGUGGAAACAACCCUGUCAGUUGCGGCAAUGUAAAGGAGUAGGUCUUUAUUGGGCUGGGGCGCUGUAAGGACAGGUGGUGAAGUGAGGAAGGUCUUAAGCUGAUUGAAUGCGGCGUCAGCUUCCUCUGUCCAAGAAAAUUUUUCCGACGCUUUCAAUAGUUUGAAGAAAGGGAGGCCUUUUUCUCCUAGCCUUGAGAUGAAGCGACUGAGGGCGGCCAUACAUCCGGUAAGCUUCUGAAUAUCCUUGACGUUCUUCGGUGGUCGCAUGUCGAGUACUGCUUUUACUUUUGAAGGGUUUGGUCGUAUGCCGUCACGACUGACAACAUUGCCGAGCAGUAGACCGGAAGGAACGCCGAAAAUGCACUUCUUGGGGUUGAGCUUCCACUUAUACCUAUUAAGCGCUUUGAAAGUUCUGUCUAAGUUGUCGAUUAGGGUGCUCGCGUCCCUUGUUUUUACGACCACGUCGUCUACAUAAGCCUCGACGAGGUCAUCACGAAUCUCGUCGUGGAGGCAUUGUUGGAUGGCCUGUUGAUAAGUGGCUCCGGCGUUUUUGAGUCCGAAUGACAUGGUCGUGUAGCAGUAUGCGCCGAAAGGAGUAAUGAAAGAUGUUUUGAUCUGAUCUUCUUCUUUUAUCGAAAUCUAGUGAUAACCAGAGUAGCAGUCUAGAAAAGAGAGGAGUUCGCAUCCGGCCGUUGAGUCGACCACCUCGUCGAUGCGAGGGAGACCAAAAGGAUCUUUAGGACAGUGUUUAUUGAGAUCAGUGUAAUCAACGCACAUUCUCCAUUCAUUAUUCUUUUUGCGUACAAGAACCGGAUUGGCGAGCCAAUCGGGGUGAUACACUUCUUUUAUGAAUCCGGCUGCUAGAAGCCGUGUUAUUUCUGUCCAAAUAGCCUCCUUUUUGUCAUGAGCGAACCGUCGUAGCUUUUGCUUGAUUGGUCUUGCGGUCUUCGAAACAUUUAAGGAGUGCUCGAUCAAGUUUUGUGGGACGCCGGGCAUGUCUGCGGGUUUCCAUGCGAAAACGCUCACGUUGUCCCUUAGAAACCUGACGAGCGCGUCUUCCUAUUUCGGAUCCAGAUUGGCCCCGAUGAGAGCCAUCUUCUCGGGGCUGCCGUCAACCAGUUGUACUUCUUUGUACUCUUUGGAUUUUGAAUUCUUCCUGGCUGUCGCCUGCUCGGGUAAUCGUAGCUGGUCGGGAGGCAGCUGUGCGGCCUGAGUUGCUGUUUCUGCCAUGCGGAUUGAGAGGUCGAUUGCUUCGGUGAUCUUGAAACUCUCCUCUUCGCAGGUAUACGCAGUGUAGACAUUGCCUCUGACGGUUAGGACACCCUUCUCCGUAGGCAUCUUAAGGACCAGGUAUGAGUAGUGCGGGACUGCCAUGAACUUUGUCAGCGAUGGUCGGCCCAGUAUAGCGUGAUAGGUCCCGUCGAAGUCCGCGACCACGAAGUUGAUGAACUCCGUCCGAAAGUGGUCGGGUGUGCCGAAUUGGACAGGCAGUGUUAUCUGUCCGAGGGGCACUGAACUCUGUCCUGGCAAAACCCCCCAGAAUUGGGCAUCAUAAGGUUUUAGUUGUGCAGGAGAUAUCUUGAGAGCGGGCAGGCUGUUGCGGAAGAGGAUGUCAAUGGAGCUUCCCCCGUCCACGAGCACGCGCUCGAAUCUGAUGCUGUUGAUGCAAGGGUCCAGAAUCAAAGGGAAACGACCUGGCUCUGGAAUAGCGGCUCACUGGUCCUUCCUGCUGAAUGAGAUCUCCCUGUGCGACCACGGGGGAAAUUUUGGGUCUGCAAUCAGCCCGUCCGUGCUGUCUAUGUUGAGGCAUGCUCUCUUUAACAGCUUUCUUUCUCGCUUAGAUUCAAUGGAGACCUUGCCCCCAAAGAUGGAGUGGACCACGUCAGUGGGGCUGACGUAUUGGUGUCGGGGGUCCCUAUCCUGGUCCUCAUCCUCAUCUUCGUGGUCGUGCCCGUCUCGUUUGCCGUUUUUCUUGGCGGAGUCGUCUUGGGCGGCUCGCCGUGUAUAGAUACUUUUGAGGACGCGGCACUCUUCCAUGGUAUGAUUAGACUUUGGAUGUAAUUGGCACGGUCCCUUCAACGUUUUGUUGUAGUCUUCUUGGUAGUCCCGCCGCCCGUUGGGCCACUUGACCGUAUUUACUUCGUUGUCGUAGUUGCGGGGGCGCUUUCCUCUGAAAUCGUCGCGGUUGUCGCGCCGCCGAUCCCAACCUUCUUUGUGAUCACGGUUGUCGGGGUGGCAGUGGUUCCUGUUGUCGUAGCGACCACGACCGUCAUCACGCCGGGGAGGCUGGUCGGGACCUCUCGCAUCGUCUCGGAUUAGUUUUUCAGCGUCGUCGGCGUCGGCGUAAUUUUUGGCCGUGGCGAGGAGCUCCGCCACGGUUGUUGGCCAUUUACGCAACAGCUUGUUCCUCAGCGCUUCGUGGAAACGCAGGCCCUUGAUGAAGGCAGAGAUGGCCUCGUCGUGGGAAAUCUUCGGGAUCUUAAGGCGCAUAUCCGAGAAUCGUCGGAUGUAGUCGCGCAGAGGUUCGUUCUUUCUGUCCCUUAUCCUUUCGAGGUCAUACUUGUUUCCAGGCUGCUCGCAUGUGGCGAUGAAGUUGUCGAUGAAAGCCUGGCGUAGCUCUUCCCAAGAGUCGAUGGAGUCCUCGGGCAAGCCAAGAAGCCACUGAUGACCGGCCUGGUCAAGGACUACGGGGAAGUAGUUGGCCAUGACGUGCUCAUCUCCCGCUGCUGAUCGGACAGCGAUUUCAUAGAGAGUGAUCCAGUUCUCUGGAUUUUCCUUGCCGUCGUAUUUCUUAAGUUUUUCGAGCUUGAAAUUGCGGGGCCACACGACCUGGCGGAGGUGUGAGGAGAACUGUCUUAGGCCCGGGGGGCCGUGUGUUGCGUCGUACUCGAUACGGCGCAGGUUUUCGUGGACUGCUCUCUCUGUGGCACGCUUGUUAAUGCGGUCCCGAGCAUCUUUGGGAGGGAUGUUGUGCCGGAGAUCCCUGUGCUGGUUUACUUCUUGACCGUGUCUGCGGUUCUGCUCGCGGUGACCGUCAGUGUCCCGACGACCAUCGUCACGCCGUGAAUCUUUUCGACGGUUGUCGGGAGAGCGGCUGUGGUGACGCCUGCUGGGAGGUGGUGAGGUCCGGCUACGAUUAGUCUGGUUGGAGGUGGCUUCCUUGUAAGAGACGUCCUGGACUCUCUUGAGCAGAGUGGCUGUCUGUCCCAUUGCGGCGAUCAGGUGUGCUCGGAUGCUGGUCCGGACUCCCUGGCACUCGGGGGUAUCAGGGAGCCGAUCUAAAUUAGCCAUGGCGACAGCCACGUUAGCGCUUGGCCUCUUGUAGACUGGCUGAUCCCCGACCAUGUCAAAAGCGUCGUUAAGAUUAUGUGGUGGGAUUUGUUGUUGUUGCUCGUCUGCGCGUCGUCGGGCGUGAUAGGCGUUACGCUGCUCGCGGAGUUGCCUCUGCUCAUCUGUUUCUCCAUCAACGACCGGUUCGUCGGUGCUGACGUUGAAGACAAUAUCUCCUCGCCGGGGGGGAAAUAUCGGGAAACGAGGGAAACCCGGUGGGUGUGAAGGCAAAUCCAGGUCGUAGUCCUCGUCUUCGGUGUUUAUAACUUCGGUGGGGACGGAGCCGGUGCUCGAGUUGGUGCAGGAAGCCUGGCCGUCCUGUAGUUCUCGGACUGUCACCAUGUUGACAUAGUGACGACCGUUUCUCUUUGGGUACCAACCCGCUUCGCUGAAAACUGAUUUGAUGUGCCGUGAAUAGAGAGAGACCGAGUUGUUCAGGCCGCAAGGAUAGUCUCCCUUCUUGAGCUUGACAGACCGUCCUGAGGGAGUUGAGGUUAUCGUCAGAGACGUUCCCAGCCGUUCGUGUGUAAUGACACGAGUUGGCCGACGGGAUUUGAAAAAAUCCGUUGGAGCAGCUUGAUCAGGCUGGCGCAAGAUUCCGUCCACUAGUUGGGAGGCUUCAAGUAGCUUGGAAUCAGCGUGGUCGAGCGCUUGGAGAAGAUCCGAGCAGUCGAUCUUCUUUCCCUUGUAGAGCGGGAACGGUAGUCGGGCGCUCGGUGCCGUCACGCGAGUGGUCGGAGACGACGUGUUCUCAGAUUGGAUCUGAGUUUCUUUCGAAACCGUGGUUGUGAGGCCGCCGCUGAGCGUCGUCCACGUGAUCUGGCCGACGGUGAACGUGAGGCCUUCAGGCACGCCCGCGGAAGCUGGGAUCGUGACCAUCUUGUUCGUCGGAGAAGUUGCACACACACCCCCUACCUGGCGCGCCACUGUCGACGAAAGCUGGUCGGCAGGCUACCUUGGGGUAUACCCACGGUAGUAUUUUAUCGGUAGACGGUGCGCAAACUACGAACUCGAUGGUGACGCAAGACACGGACAAGCUUUUUAUCCAGGUUCGGCCGCCGAGUUGGCGUAAUACCUACGUCCUGCGUCUGAUUGUAUUGAUUUGUGUUGAGAGAAUCUGAUGAUCUAGGGGGGUCCCUUGCCCCUCCUUAUAUAGUCUGGAGGGCAGGGUUACAGAUCUAGAAACUAAUCCUAGUCGGUUACAAUUGCCAUGGAUAAUUCGAUAUCAAUUCCUAUUCUAACCGACUAGAAUCCUACUUGAUCUCCACAUCUUGUUUCCUUGCGCGAAACUCCAAGCUAUCGGAUCAAGCCUCGAACUCGUCUCGUAAUGGGCCAAGCCUCCAGGCCGAAGUCUAGCCGUAAGGGUAUAGGGGUUUAUACCCCCACAUAAACCACUUAAAAACACAAUAUUUCCUUAAGACAAAAUAAUAAGUACUGUACAAGGUGCCUUAGCACUCAGGACAGGCUCGCAGGCCUCAGUCGCUGUCUCGGCCCUCACCACCCUCGUCCAUGCCCGAGCUAGUCUCGGGAGGAAGUACUUCUAGCUCGAACAGCUUCGUCAACCUUUCCCCAGGGGCCUCCGCGUCGUCAAUCAAGGCAUGGAGCCUCUCCUCGUUCUCCACGUCGGUCUUGGAAAUGUCAGUGACGAAGCCGUGGGACACCACCUCCAUAUCGUAGGAAAAGCCCGAGCAGACAACCGCGAUCGCCCGCUUCACCCCGAUAUGAAGGGCAUCCCGCACCCGGUCCCUCAGCGUGGCACCUAGGUAACACAGCUGAUUGACCAGUGCGUCGCCUCGAGCCGCCUCCCUCGACUCGUCCACAGGCUCGAGCUCCCAGGAGGCCGAGAGAUCGCUUAUCGCAGUCCGUAGCCGACCGUUCAAAGCAACCUCCCCCUCGAGCUGAGCCUUGGUGGAGUGGCCCUGGACUUGAGUAGCUAGCAGCUCGUCUUUAAGCCCUACAAAGGCCGACACAGAGAAGUUAGAUAACACAAAGCACGCCUUGGAAAAGAAACAUGACGAUAAUAAUCGUACCACGAAUCUUCUCCUCUAGAGCUGUAUUCUCGCCAACCAAAUCGUUAUUGGCCCUCUCGAUCUCCCUGUGAGAGCGGGCCAGGUCGGUGUUGGCGACCCGCAAGUCCUCGAUCGCCUUGCCAGCUUGCGCGAUAGCUCCAUCUUUUUCCAGCAACGCCCUCAUCACACGAUCGACGUCAUCAGAGAGGCUGCGAGAUCGAGCCCGCUCCGCCUCGAGAUCCUCGAGGGCCUUCUUCUUAGCCUCCUCUGCGGCGCUUCGAGCAAUCUCGCCCUUCACACACUCCACCUUCAUCUCUUGGAAGGCUUCUCGGGCAUAGACAAGGUUAGCCUUGAUAAUGACCUUUUCCUUGUCAAGAUCGGCGGCGGCUCCCUUAUAGAAUGCGGCCUCUUCCCGAGCCUUGAACGCAGCCUCCUCGACCGUCAUGGUCCGGUCCCUCAGCAGCGUGGUCCCUUCCACUGCCUUCCUCGAGGCCUCCUGAGCUUCGGCCAGAGCGGCCUCCCUCUCCUUCUUCUCCUCCUCGAGCGCCAAAAGCUCCUUCUAAGCCUUGAGGAGCUUCUCCUGCGACUCCAGGAGUUGGUCCUUGAGGAGAGGGAGUUGCUCCCAGCCGCCCCUCGUCGCGUGGAUAAAACUCGACUUUAUGCGGGAGGUCUCUUUCAGAUCCUGCAAGCCAGCGGUUGAAAAGUAAGAACGCAAAGCCAAACGUCCUAUAGUAACUAAGGUCCCAAGGACACUUACAAAGUAAGCCGGACCGAGCCCGUUGUUGACGACGUCGGACAGGAGCCCCACCACAUCUUUCAUCUAGAGGCGAAGCUCCUCGAGAUGUUCCCACUUUUUGGCCUCCUUUCGAUCAUCCAUAUAUAUGUUAGGCUCGGAUGGGUCGGUGGAGGCCCGAAUGCGGAUCCGAUCGGGGCACCAGUUUUCCAUCUCCUCCUCCGUGCGCGCCUUGACACCCUGGAUGAGCUCUUGGACAGUCUCGAGCGACCCCCCAUGACGUAAAAAUAGGUCGAUAAGGGAGGGGAAUCGCCCAUCAUCAUCCACUGUCUUCUAGGUCCCGGUCUCGUCGGUAGCGCCACCACCUGACGUCCCGGCUUCAUCCUCCUCGGCGGGUUUGUGAUCUUCCCACGGCCGUUGCUCUCAGAGAAAUCCGGGAGCGAUCCACUCAAUGCCGUAGAUCGUGCCCUUGAUCUCAGACUGAGGGUCCACCGGGGUGCGCAUCAUGCAGGCGAGCGCCACCACGCCAUCCGCCCACCCUGGCUCAGCCGGGAUAGAAGCGGGCGCUCCCGGACGGAGCCACGCAGGUGUUGGUGGACCAUAGACCGUGUUGACGGUCCUUAAUGCUCACAUUUAACCAUCAACUAAUCAUGGAAAAGGACCUAUAUGCAACCAACACCUAGAGUUAGGGUUUUAUCUGAUAAAAUUCCACGAGUUUGGUGUUUGUCUAUUUCUGUAGGGGGUUAUCAGGAAAUACGGAAGAAAGGCCCACACGUCGGGUUUACAUAGAGAUAUUAACGUGUCGUGCAAUUUUCUAUCAUCUAGAAGACUCCAGAAGCCACGGGAACGAACGGGAAGGCAAUCGGGCUCGGAGGCAGGGCGCCCACCCAACUCUCCUGGGCGCCCGCCCAGCUACAGUGUCCAAUUCGGACCCGUUUCGCGGAUCGUGCAACACCGACCUAAAGGAUCAAGGAAAACCAUGCAAUUAAUGUCGGUUUAAUCCGACGGCCCAGAUUCAUCUGAAAAGACUAUAUAAGCAAGGCCCCCUGGCCCCUGGAGAUCAUACCUCUUCUACAGAAUCAAAGCUAGGGUUUCAAUUCUUCAUCCAAGUAGAGGGUUCUUCUAGGGUUCUUCUAGUUCUACCUCUAGUUCAUCUAGAUCUAGUUCUAGUUCAUCUAGUUCUAGUUCUAGUUCCUCUAGUUCUAGUUAUAGUUAGUUCUAGUUGUAAUCUAGAAAAUAGGGAGAGAGAAGAGGAGAGCGUAGGAGGAGCCGGAUCUGUCGGAUCUUCCUCAACAUUAUACUUUUGUAGCAUCUGGUUCGUUCUUCCUCGUUCUCCAGGUUCUUCAAUUCAUAAUUCCUGAGUUCUCUAAUUACUUUUAUUUACAUUGAAGUUAUUUAUUGGAUUCCCGCUUGCAUCAAGUGCUCUAAUCAUUGAAACAUUAGAGUAGUAAUUAAUAGAUUAGACGUGGUGUUUAGUCUUGCAAUUACCUGGAAUUGCACCCAAUCCUGCAGAUUGUUGUGGUAGCCUUAGGGUAGUGACAGCCCUAACGGUCGACGUAUUCCACCUCAUUCGGAUCGGUGUUUGUAGGACCGUAGUCGGAGCUUCCUAGCCCCCUUCUCAUCUCUUUCUGUGGUUAGUGUUCUGAUGUCCCGAAAUAGAUAAUCUUGAAGUAAUUCUUGAUUCUUAGAUCCACUAGAGAACUCUCAGGAAACUUCCUCUCUUCCCACCAAAAAUAAUUAUAUAGUUAUCCUUGGGCGAUCUUGAUUCUUAAUUAGUACACUCACGUUCCCUGUGGAAAAUCGAUACUCUGGAAUACUCCCGGGUGAAAGCUACAUCGGUAUCCGUGCGCUUGCGGAUUUUUCUGUUUGCGUUUAAAAUACCCAACAAGCUUUCUGGCGCCGUUGACGGGGAACGGUAGCUGUGCUAGUUUCAAACCAAGUCGUCCGUGUAUCCUUUUUCAUUUCCUUUUUACCACACUCACCUUAUCAUUUUUACCAUACCACAUGGAUUUCACUCUAAGCAUUAAUGAGCAUGGAAUUUAUUUCAUAGCCACUUCAUUUACUCCAUGCUCAUAUGCAACAUCUUCACAAUCCAUUGGUCUCUCCAACAUCACCACAUUCGAGAUCUCCAACCCCCUCUUCCUUUCUAUUUAUAAAAACUUUAAAAGGGCGGUUGUCGAUGCAUAUGUCUAUAUUAAAUAUUGCAGAUCUCGUUGAGUUUAUCUUGAUAUAGGUCAGUGUUGGAGGGGAAACCACUUCACCGACAUAAAUCGAUGGUUUCCCAAGGACAAGCUUAGUGUCCUAAAACAAACACUGAUCAGAUUGUAACGUGAGCUUUUAAUUAUUUGCAACAUUGCCUUGUGUUUUGAGCAUAUAAGGAUAAUUGUAAAAAAAAUUAUCCAAACUUGAAUUUUGCAAAAUUCAAGCUUGGGGGAGUACUUUACAUAAAAACAUCCUUUGCCAUAUUGCUAUGUUGGUUGUCCCUACCUUUGAGACAUGCUCAAUUUGUUAAAUACUAAUCACACUACUUCAUCUCCACUUGAGUAGAUUUCUAUAAAUGCUCUCAUGCUACCUUUAUUUGCUUUAGUAUAUGUUUAGGUUUGGAGUAGUUUUAUUUAUCUCUUAAUUAAGCAUGGUGCUUAGUUAGGAAUGAUGAUCUUACUUCCAAGGGAUUUUAAAUUAAGCAUGGUGCUUAGGUUAAAAUGCCCUCCUAAAUCAAAUUAGACAUGGUGUCUAGGUUGAUCUUUGAGCCGAUAGUAUGCUAGAGUAGAUAUUGGAUAUUUUGUUGGACUAACCUCUGUAGGAAAACUUUCAAUAUCGACCUGGGAAGUCCUGAGAUAAGCUCACAUUGGAGACAAAGAAAGAGACGCAUGAAGUUUAACAAUUUACACAAGGAAGGCAUAUCUCACAAGAGAUGAUCCAUAGAGGGUGCCAUAAACACGAUGCACAACCGCUAAGAAAGGAAAGCUUCCACAAGGUGAUACUGUACCAUCACUCUUCAAGUAAGGUAACAUCUUAAGGUACUUGUCUAUCACUUUUAUAAGGUUCUCCUUAGUUCUAGUGUUCACAUGAAUAAAAGAGACAAACAUGUAUGAUUUACAACUCUAGAUUAACCAACCCAAUCGAUUCAACAUGUUUAGUCCUUCCACCUUUGUGAUCCUACACUCCUAAUCAUAUGAGCUAAAGUGUUGCACAUUCAAUCUUUGGAAGAUAUAAACAAAACAUAAAUAUAGAUAGAUUAUCUUUUCAUUAGGUUGAGCGAUUUGAUCUCACAAAUGUUUUAAAUGUUACACCCAUGAUCUUAUUAUCCAUCAACUUUGUCUUGCUCACUAUGCUUAAGGUUAGAGAAGAACAAAUACACUUUUGGUUCUGUUGGUGUUUUCCACCAACAGGGCCCGUGCACAUGAUCUCUGCCUUGUCUCUAUGAGCAGGUACACUUCGAGCAAAAUAUAAAGGAGUUUCACAAUUCCCAGACUCCACCAAGUUAAGAACUUAGAUCUACGAGCACAAACACACUGGAGAGACUGGACACUCAGGCAAUCACUGCCCUGAGAUGCUUGAGGACAUAACUACUGGAGUAACCCGUGGAAGUAAUUACUGACCUUCUGCCGGUCAAGAGAGGCGAUCCAGGACGCACCGUCAUCCCGAUCUCCAUUGGCAUGGUGGACUUCCCAGAAGUACUCUGUGACUUUAGCUCCAGUGUCAACAUUAUGCCCAGGGUACUCUAUGAAAAAUUCUUUACACAUCCUUUCCUAGAAACAACCAUGUGUUUGCAGCUUGCAGAUCAGACACUAAGUUUCCCAAAGGGAAUAUUGAAGAACCUCUACGUCCGAGUUGGUACCUUAUACGCUCCAGCAGACUUCGUGGUGACAUGAAACAAGGAAGAGGACCAACAGGAGGAACAGGAACAAGCAAAUGUUGACCAUGUCAGCAAAGAUGGUCACUGCAGUUCAAGGAGGUCAAGAUCGUCGACUUAAGUCACCGUUCCUAACCAAAAAGGAUGACCCAAGUAUGCCAAGCAUCCAGUGCUCCAUUGAUGGAUACAACUUCCAGAAGAUGCUUUGCGACACUGGGUUAGGUGUCAACAUAAGCAGUCACCUAUCAGCUCCUAUUCAGAACCAUGCCCCUAAAACCGAUAUACAUUCAGCUUCAGAUGACAGAUCAGACACUCUGAAAGGUUAUUGUCAUGGGAGAAGACGAAUUCACACUCAUCAUCAAUGGGAGACCGUUCCUUAGCACCGUUAAAGCAAUCAUCUACAUUGGAACCGGAGAAGUCCACAUGAACUUCUCCUCUGAGAAGGUACGCUGCUAUUUUACUGACCCUAACUAUAUAGUUGAAGACUCUAAGCAGGUCAGGAAAAGAAGGAGACGAUGCAAUCGCAACCAGAGGAGGCAAAUCAUCAAGGAUGGAUGGGCAGACUACGAAGGAGAAGUGGCACCACCGGAACCACCGACUAUGCCAUCCAGCGAAUCCCAGGACGAAUGAGAAAACGGAGAGUCCCGUUCGGAGGACAUAAAAACACCGAACGCCUUGCCAAGAGGUAAACUGGUAGUUAUCUUUUUCCUUUCAAUUAUUUUAAAAUAGUUUCCUUAGUUAAUCUGGUUCAUAUCAUCUUGAAAAGAAAAUAAAAAUGUAAAAAAUAGUAAGCCCUAUGUGAGUAUGCUCAUGACAUAAAACCCAUAAGUACAUUCACUGUGGUGGCAUAAAAUAAAAUAAAUAUAUUUAUGUGCUAUAAAAAUGAAAAUAUAAAAAUAAAUUUAUGAUCCUACCAAAGAGUGUAACAUUUAUUGAGGAGGCUCAACAUGAUAAAGGCUAGAUAUUUAUGCUAACACUUAACCAGUUCCACAAAGCUUUGUUGUCUAUUUGAGCUCCACAGAAUUUAAGGAUCAAAUAAGACUAGCAGACGGAGGACAUCCUAACCACUGUCAGGAUGCUGCCGACAUUCAAAAACACCUCCGCCACCUGCUAGCUACAUCAGAAGAAAUUGCGACAAAAUCCAGCUUGGGGGAGAGCACCCCCAUUUAUCCAGACGUUUAUAUUUUACUUAAAUAAUAAAAAGAUGCAUAAUCAUAAAAACCCAAAUAAAGAUUUUGUUCUUAUAUUUUUGCUUAGUUUGAUAAAUAAAUAAAUAAAUAAAAUUUGCUAUGAACCCUCAUGAUAAGCUCUCAAAUGGAAAUGAUGAAUAGUUGCUCUACCACGACUAGUUCUCAAAAUUGAAAUCUCUCUCAAGUUUAGGCAUGACUGGUAUUAAUUAAGAUUUGCUCUAAACCUGAACUUGUGGGAAGAGUACUUGAUCUAGACUCUAAGUCGUUAACGGAUAUGAUAUGGGAAGGUUGAGCUGCUGUUUAUCUGUUCCUAGAGAUGCUAGAAUUCUGGAGAAUUUUAUCUUUGAAAAAAAAAUCUUUAAAAUGUCGCAUGAUGAAUUCCUGUAUGAUGAGAGUUUAAAUACCUACCACAGCCAUAUAUACAUGCUUGCUAGACUUUGAGCCACACAUUUACUUUUUACUGCUUAUGAGCAUUGAGUGUGGUCAAGCUGUGUAGACCCUUAGGAGCUUGUCAUGCGGUUAAAUCAAGAUUCACUUGCACGUUCACUCAUACAUGCUACUUCUACUUCGGAAGUACGCAUCCACAUAUAUCCACCCAUUUUCAUCUCCAAAAUCACCUAAAAAUAUUCUACUCCUAAUCCGGGAGAGAAUAGCCAAAAACAUUUCUGUUUUCCCCUUUGAAAUAAAUGCUCAAGUUAUCUUGGUUACUACCACUCGCUAUAUUAUUUCAGGAAAUGAGUGCUCUAAAAAAAGAGAGAGAAAAAAAUAAAUACGAGGAAAUAAAAAGGGGCAAGUGCCUGGAACCUCGAAAGAAAAAAAAAGUGAGACGAGAGGUAAAAAUGGACAAGUGUCCGACAGUAGAAUUAGGGGUACAAGAUACCCACCUGAGAGAAAAGAAAAAUAAAAUAUAGAGCAUCUCAUUCUCCUCAAAAAGUUUCAAAAGAGCAACAAAGGUAUGUAUCCAGUCAAAAGAGCACAAGUAGAAUUAGAUUUUCACCAUUGUUAUCACCAUCAUCACCAUACACCAUUCAUUCGUCACACAUGCACAUCUUGAUUUGACUUAUUGACUUGUUCUUCUGGAUCCAUGGUUUGACUAUGCAAUAAAUGUCUUGUAAGUAUGUAUUAGCUGUCUCCCACCUAUGAGCUCCAGAUAUCAAAACCUUAUUAGAGUAGGGUGAGAGAGAAGGCAAUGCUACUACGCCUCAUACCAAAAAUACUAUAUAUUUUGAGAGAAGGCAUAUACCAUCACUACCUUGGUAAGGAUCUAGAAAUACCACAAAAGAGAGACUAGAGAGUAAUACAAGGAAUCUUUGAGUUUUAUUUGAAAAUCUGCAAAAACUCCAGAGCUAUAGUUAAUCAAAGAACAAAAGACAUGGCGCUUGACUAGACCGUUCUAUCUUUUAACUGCUCAAGGCACAAGUGAAGGUUGCAAGCCCCAUGGUGGAAGGUAAAAUGAGUAAGUUUAAAUCUUAACAGUUUACCCUACCUAGAGAUGAGAUCUUGUUUGAACGCAUGUACCUUUAAGGCAUGAAACCACUGCAGAAACUCUUGAGUCCAUAUUUGCUCUGGGACGAGCAAAGGUUAAGCUUGAGGGAGCUUGUUGACGGUCCUUAAUGCUCACAUUUAACCAUCAACUAAUCAUAGAAAAGGACCUAUAUGCAACCAACACCUAGAGCUAGGGUUUUAUCUGACAGAAUUCCACAAGUUUGGUGUUUGUCUAUUUCUAUAGGGGGUAAUCAGGAAAUACGGAAGAAAGGCCCAUAUGUCGGGUUUACAUAGAGAUAUUAACGUGUUGCGCAAUUUUCUAUCAUCUAGAAGACUCCAGAAGCCACGGG